Molecule: long non-coding RNA, 49421 nt
Filed under: Brassica napus (rape)
Lineage: Eukaryota; Viridiplantae; Streptophyta; Magnoliopsida; Brassicales; Brassicaceae
Description: long non-coding RNA (BNAP_LNC025623)
Source: RNAcentral
GCUCGAGCAAGAAUCGAUCCAUUGAGAUUGCGAAGAAAGAAACUUCAUAAUCUGAAAAGGUAGAUCCUAAACUAUUCUUGAUAAAUCUUGAUAGUCUGGCUUUUCAAUUCUUUUCAAUUGAACUACGAUGAUUUGAUCUUAUAUCUGCAGGUGGGAUGGAAAAGGAUCUCAGGGUAUUUGGAUCCGGUUAAGUAUAUAACAAAAUGUUUAUGCAGAUAUCAUUUACUCUCUCUCUUUCUUGAUUUAUCUUUUCUUGAGAAGUUGCUGAAGAUUGUUUUAUGAGAGUAUUAUAAGUCACCGCAUUUGGUAAUCAAGUGUUGCUUUCCCAAACGAAGUGACUUAUAAAGAUCUCAUGAUUAAUCGAUUUUUUGCAAGGUCUUGAAGAGAGUAAAGGACCAUGAUGUCCUGAGUGAAAAUGGAUUUAUCUUUCUUUUUUUUUGUCUUAUAAUGUGCCAGGUCUCUUUGUGUGUUACUGUCCACUCUUUCUUUUUGUCUGGGUGAUAACAAGAUAAAUCCCAAGCAUCAUCCACCUUAUUAGCUUUGACAUAAACGAAGGCUUGUAAAAUGGAAGAUUCUUGGGAUUUAUCUUUUUGUAGUCUCCUCUUCUAAAAGAGUAAUGUCAACAUACACGGAAAUGAUUUCAAAUUCUAAAAGUGUUGCUUAAUGUUACAACAUACACGACAAUGAUUUCAGGCUUGUGGAGGAACAUGAUGCUUCUGUUUAUGGAUUUGUAAGCCAGAAACUUGAUAUUUGCUAAAGAAGUGUUAACCGUUUGCAUGUGUUAUAACUGAGUGUUUACACCCACUUUAUGUAUAAAUGGAAUAAGGUUGCUUUCCCCCAUCAGAUUAAAGACUAAGUGAUCAAGAUUUUAUCUUUUUGUUUCUUAGUUUGAACUUUUUUAUGUUCUCGUAAUGUAUUGAUCAAUGUGAUAUAAAAUAGAUAACAAUGUUGUGCCAAACAAAACUAUGUUGAUAGGUACGGUUUUGUGCAAUUAAUGGACAACCACUUCAUGUUAGCCAUUUUCAAAAACGUUAACGAAAAGAUUGGUAAAUACUUAUCCACUAGGUACGUGGAAAGAGAUUAUUAAUUUUAUUAUUUUUAGAUAAAAAGAUAUUAGGUCUCUUUAAUCUAGAUAUUGGUUCAGUUUUAGGUUGGUUUUUUUUUUUUAAUCUCCUAAAAUAUCACUAUUAGAGAUGUCAAACAAGUUUACCCGUCUCGUACCGCGGCGGGUUAGUCAUCAAGCGGGCCAGCUGGCUUUUUCCGCGUGGACUGCGGUCUUCAGAAUGUCGGCUCAAACCCGUACCGCAGAACAUAUAGGCCUUCGCGGGUCGUCCCGCGGGAUGCCUCCUUGUCAAACCGCCUACUACAACUUCCUUCAUGAAUGUUCAAAUUGAAGAGUUGUGUAAGAGAGUUGAAGAUAGCUCAUUAAGCUUCACUAAAGUCUUAUCAAAAUCAAUGCCAUAAAGCUCUGUUUGUGCUUGUGUUCUUGAGUUAAAAGCCUUUUCUUGUUAUCAUCAUAAGAUUUUAUUAAAUUUGAAUUUGAUUGAGUUGUUGUCUUUGUAAUAACUUGGCUCAAGUGUUGUAUGUUUUCAUCAAACCAUCUUUCUUUGUAAUUCUUUGGAUUUCAAAAAAAAAAAUCGUUAAUCAUUUGUCAAAUUAUACAAGUCACAUGAUAUACAACUAACUUUUCUCCUAAACAACAUCAUUGUAACCAUAUUUAAUUUAAGAAAAAUACCAUUUCACAAUACUGAAAACGAAACCAAGCAACUUAAACAAGAAAUCCCACAUUGUAAUAAAGCAAUUAAUAGUUGUGUUUAAUAAAAAGAGAAAACCAAAUCAAAACAACACCAGAGCUCGAAUCGUCAUCGCUGAAGCUGGAGUCGUCAUCGCCGGAUCUCGAAUCAUCAUCACCGGAGCUCAAAUCAUCAUCGCCGGAACUCCUUAUGUUUUCAAGGGGAAAAGUCACAAGAAUCGAUUUCUUCUCACUAUCUCUCUCGUUCUUUUCAGGUAAAAUAAGAAAUGAAAAAAAAUGCGGGUCCAUAUAAUCCCGCAUGACCCGUUUCGACCCAGUCCCGCAAAGACCUGUCCCGCGAAGCCCGCAAAUUUACGGGCCUAGAAAACCUCGUCCCAAUACCGUCCCGCGACAGGCCUUUACGAACCAGGCCCGUGGUCCAAGUCCAUGAUUGCCAUCUCUAAUCACUACCAUUCUAAAUCUAUAUUUAUUUUGGUUUGUUCGGUUAAAAUGCUUAAGGUUUUUGUUUUCUUUGGGUGAUAAACAAAAAACUAUUAUUAUUGGUUUGGUUUCAUGUUAUAUGAGUUUUAGACUGUCGAACCAAUAGUUUGAAUUCAUAUUAUAAUUUAUAAACGUAUACAAAAUCAAAUCAAAUCUAGAUAAUAGUUAAAAAAAAAAUUAUUAAGACAAAUCAUUUCUCUACAAUUUGGUCGAUGGUGAAAGGAAGCAUUAAAAAAAAUAUAUUCCAAUUUCAAUUAUUAUUGAGUAAAAAAAAAGUAUGCAAUGAUAUUACUGAUUGACUCAAAGUUGUUUAUGAGUUCAGUUGUUUUGAUAUGGAACUCUAAACUAAUCUUUAAAGUGUGAGAUUAUUUGAGUUGCGUUUUGAUAGACCAUGGAUUUAACCCACUCUCACCCAUGAAUUAUCAGUGUUUUAAUUAUUAAUUAUUAUAUUAUAGAGUUUAUUUAGUAUAUUUAUAGGAUCAGAAGUGAUUUGGAGACAAGUGAUGAUUUUGGAGCAUUUUAGAGAUAUUUGGAGCAAGCACCCGAGAUGACCAUCGAGCUCGACCAUCGGUCGAUAUUGAAGAGGAAUAAUCGAUCAAUGUUCACAUCAGAGCAUCGAUCGACAGCGAAGCGCGCAAAAAGCCUGUUUGGUCACAGCCGACUUGAAGCCCAAGUCUUCACCAGUUUACAAGAUUACUGAUAUAUGGUGUUUUUGGCAUCUUGUAUAUAUGUUUUCUAAUUGGUUUUCAAGUCAUUAUCGAGUCUUCCUAAUCCUUUUCGAGUCAUUACAGGUCUGGAGUUGCAUUGGAUUGGAGAUAGACCAGCUGAAACAAAAAGGACAGAACACAAUGCAAUCUGGAGUUUUCACGCGGAACCGUCUGAGUGACUGUUCCCGAUAGCGGAGCAACCCGAGUGACUGUUCUGGAUAGAGAGGAGCAACCCGAGUGCAUGUUCCAGCGGCAGAGAUUUUUAAGGAAACUACAAGUCAUUACGGAAUUUGCCCUAAUUAUCCCAUCUUUUUCUCCCAGCCGCCAGUGGCUUCCAUAUAACUUCUCUUUCUGUUUUUCUAUAUUUUAUUACGCUGUUUUUGAGACAAGGAACCAGACUUGAGUGAUAAAAAGAUAUUAGGUCUCUUUAAUCUAGAUAUUGGUUCAGUUUUAGGUUGGUUUUUUUUUUUUAAUCUCCUAAAAUAUCACUAUUAGAGAUGUCAAACAAGUUUACCCGUCUCGUACCGCGGCGGGUUAGUCAUCAAGCGGGCCAGCUGGCUUUUUCCGCGUGGACUGCGGUCUUCAGAAUGUCGGCUCAAACCCGUACCGCAGAACAUAUAGGCCUUCGCGGGUCGUCCCGCGGGAUGCCUCCUUGUCAAACCGCCUACUACAACUUCCUUCAUGAAUGUUCAAAUUGAAGAGUUGUGUAAGAGAGUUGAAGAUAGCUCAUUAAGCUUCACUAAAGUCUUAUCAAAAUCAAUGCCAUAAAGCUCUGUUUGUGCUUGUGUUCUUGAGUUAAAAGCCUUUUCUUGUUAUCAUCAUAAGAUUUUAUUAAAUUUGAAUUUGAUUGAGUUGUUGUCUUUGUAAUAACUUGGCUCAAGUGUUGUAUGUUUUCAUCAAACCAUCUUUCUUUGUAAUUCUUUGGAUUUCAAAAAAAAAAAUCGUUAAUCAUUUGUCAAAUUAUACAAGUCACAUGAUAUACAACUAACUUUUCUCCUAAACAACAUCAUUGUAACCAUAUUUAAUUUAAGAAAAAUACCAUUUCACAAUACUGAAAACGAAACCAAGCAACUUAAACAAGAAAUCCCACAUUGUAAUAAAGCAAUUAAUAGUUGUGUUUAAUAAAAAGAGAAAACCAAAUCAAAACAACACCAGAGCUCGAAUCGUCAUCGCUGAAGCUGGAGUCGUCAUCGCCGGAUCUCGAAUCAUCAUCACCGGAGCUCAAAUCAUCAUCGCCGGAACUCCUUAUGUUUUCAAGGGGAAAAGUCACAAGAAUCGAUUUCUUCUCACUAUCUCUCUCGUUCUUUUCAGGUAAAAUAAGAAAUGAAAAAAAAUGCGGGUCCAUAUAAUCCCGCAUGACCCGUUUCGACCCAGUCCCGCAAAGACCUGUCCCGCGAAGCCCGCAAAUUUACGGGCCUAGAAAACCUCGUCCCAAUACCGUCCCGCGACAGGCCUUUACGAACCAGGCCCGUGGUCCAAGUCCAUGAUUGCCAUCUCUAAUCACUACCAUUCUAAAUCUAUAUUUAUUUUGGUUUGUUCGGUUAAAAUGCUUAAGGUUUUUGUUUUCUUUGGGUGAUAAACAAAAAACUAUUAUUAUUGGUUUGGUUUCAUGUUAUAUGAGUUUUAGACUGUCGAACCAAUAGUUUGAAUUCAUAUUAUAAUUUAUAAACGUAUACAAAAUCAAAUCAAAUCUAGAUAAUAGUUAAAAAAAAAAUUAUUAAGACAAAUCAUUUCUCUACAAUUUGGUCGAUGGUGAAAGGAAGCAUUAAAAAAAAUAUAUUCCAAUUUCAAUUAUUAUUGAGUAAAAAAAAAGUAUGCAAUGAUAUUACUGAUUGACUCAAAGUUGUUUAUGAGUUCAGUUGUUUUGAUAUGGAACUCUAAACUAAUCUUUAAAGUGUGAGAUUAUUUGAGUUGCGUUUUGAUAGACCAUGGAUUUAACCCACUCUCACCCAUGAAUUAUCAGUGUUUUAAUUAUUAAUUAUUAUAUUAUAGAGUUUAUUUAGUAUAUUUAUAGGAUCAGAAGUGAUUUGGAGACAAGUGAUGAUUUUGGAGCAUUUUAGAGAUAUUUGGAGCAAGCACCCGAGAUGACCAUCGAGCUCGACCAUCGGUCGAUAUUGAAGAGGAAUAAUCGAUCAAUGUUCACAUCAGAGCAUCGAUCGACAGCGAAGCGCGCAAAAAGCCUGUUUGGUCACAGCCGACUUGAAGCCCAAGUCUUCACCAGUUUACAAGAUUACUGAUAUAUGGUGUUUUUGGCAUCUUGUAUAUAUGUUUUCUAAUUGGUUUUCAAGUCAUUAUCGAGUCUUCCUAAUCCUUUUCGAGUCAUUACAGGUCUGGAGUUGCAUUGGAUUGGAGAUAGACCAGCUGAAACAAAAAGGACAGAACACAAUGCAAUCUGGAGUUUUCACGCGGAACCGUCUGAGUGACUGUUCCCGAUAGCGGAGCAACCCGAGUGACUGUUCUGGAUAGAGAGGAGCAACCCGAGUGCAUGUUCCAGCGGCAGAGAUUUUUAAGGAAACUACAAGUCAUUACGGAAUUUGCCCUAAUUAUCCCAUCUUUUUCUCCCAGCCGCCAGUGGCUUCCAUAUAACUUCUCUUUCUGUUUUUCUAUAUUUUAUUACGCUGUUUUUGAGACAAGGAACCAGACUUGAGUUUUGAGAGAUUUGUGAUUUGAUACUUUGUAAAGGGAGAAGGCUCCAUCUCUCUCACCAUAGAGAAGAACCCCCUGAACCCUUAUUAUAUUUUAUCUACACAUGUUUUAUUCAGUCUCAGUCUCUGUGUUUUCUCUGUUCAUGGCGGAGUAGUCAACUUGCUUAGUCUAGGGUGUUAGGGUGUUAGAUUCGUGAGCUUGACAUAAAUAAGUUAUAAAUCGAUUGUCUUCAUUCACUGUUGUUCUUAAGGCUUGCAUCAAGUUAACCACUUAGUGCCUGAUUCUAGGUUUAAUCUAUUCAUCAAAAGUGUUAUAGGUUGCUAGACAUAACUUGAAUGAGCAUUGCAUCCCUAACCAGCGAAAGUAGAUGUUAGGGUGUUUUGUGAACACAAUUUGGCGCCGUUGCCGGGGACCAUCUUUUUACCUUUAUUUUUCGGUUAUUUAUUUAGUCUAAGACCUCUAACUUGCUCUAUCCUUUUUGUUGUGACUAAUGUUCCAGGUGCAUGACCAGUAGACAUACUCGGAGAAACGCACAAGGAGAAUUGGUUACACUUACCAACCAGGAGCUAGCAAGGUUAGAAAGAACAAAUCUUCAACAGCCAAGGCAAACCGACACCACUAUGGGUGAACACGCCAAUCAGGAUGAUCUAGCUGCACCAAUGCAACUCAUGCAGCAGCAGAUGCAACAGUUGCAGCAGACCAUUCAAGCGCAGGAACAAACUGCUCAACAGCAGCAGGAACAGCAGGCGCAAACUGUUCCAAUCGGGCAGAGAAACCUUCCGUGCAACAUCCCUACUAUGCGCUCUGCCAUUGCUCCUCCACCCUGCACCAGGCAGGACUUCGAGAUCAAGCCUGCUUUGAUCGGUCUAGUACAGAGAAAGGUGUUCUCUGGUCUCUCUACAUAAAUUCCAAUGGAGCAUAUUGAGAGCUUCGAAAAAGUCUGCAGUUUCACUCGCGCGAAUGGUGUUCCACUAGAGUACAUCAGGUGCAUGUUAUUCCCAUUCUCUCUUGAUGGAAAAGCUGCACGGUGGUUGAACUCUCUCCCUACCGGCUCUCUCACUUCAUGGGAACAGGUCCGAUCAGCGUUCCUCAGCCAUUUCUACUCGAAGGCGAGAACAACUGCAUUGAGGAACAAGAUCACCUCCUUCAGACAGCUCACUGAUGAGCCUUUCUGCGACACAUGGGAGCAAUUCAAUGACUAUCGCAGGGAAUGUCCUCACCAUGGAUUUGAUGAUGACUACCUCUUGGAAAUUUUCUAUGAUGGAGAUGACUGGGAAUUUCAGAGUGUUAUGAACUCUGCCAGCAAUGGAGACUUCUUGACUCAGACCACUGAUGGAGCGUUUGAGUUGAUUAAGAACAUGGCUGCUACUUCAGCCAAUAAGAACGAGUAGAGUGAUUGCUCCAAGAAAGGGAACAGUUCUGACACCCAGAAGAUAGAUGAGCUGACUGCCAAGGUUGAUCAGCUACUGAAAAACAACCAAGGGCACGUUUUCAGCAUGGAGCGCGCUAUGGCCGGGCAGAUUCAGAACCUGAACCAGCAACAACUGCAGAUCAAUCGGCAAGUUGUUCCAGCUACCGUGAACAGUCAACCAGAUGAGCUGAAGGGUCUGGGUAUGAUGAUGCGACAACUGUUGCAGGGUCAGAAGGUUCAGGCCAAGUCGUCGAAUCAGGUAACCACGAAAAUGGACACCAGGAUGGGCAACAUGUUCACUGAGCUGAAUAACAAGUAUGACACUCUUGCGAUCCACAUAAGAAAGAUCGAUGUUCAGCUUGCUCAAACAGUUGAGAGUCUCAAGAGGCAACAAGGGACGCUCCCUGGAAAAACUGAUUAAAAUUCUAGGACUGAGCACUGUAAUGCAAUAGAGCAGCCGUUCGCUGAGACUGUUCUAGGCGCAGAAGAGAACACAGAGCAGUGUGCUAGCUCUAGAGCGACUGGUCCUAGCGAACUUGCUGAGAUUUUACCAGUGCCAGUUUAUGUUCCUAUGGUUCCCUAUCCAAUUCCACCUAAACAUCUGAUGGAUCCUAUUAGUGCAGAGCAGCUGGCUGGGUUUAGGAAGAUGGUAAGAAGGCUUCCUCAAAAGAUCUCAUUUGAAAAUGCUUGGGAGAUUCGGCCAUUGCAUAUGUUCUUCAGAAAUUGUAGAGAAUCUCAAGAGGAAAUCAAGGCACUCUUUACUGAAGCACUGACACCAUCGCUGAAGGUACUGCCUAAGGUUGAUGACCCUGGAAAGUUUGUUUUUCCUUGUUCCAUUGCUGGAGUAAAAUUCAAGGAAGCUCUUUACGAUUCUGGAUCUAGUGUGAACCUUGUCUCAAGAGCGAUUGUAGACGAGCUGGGCAUUGUUGAUGUUGAGCCUUCUCAGGUGAAUCUGGCCUUUGCAAACUCUUCCAUGACAGUCCCUUAUGGAACCAUUCGCAAUCUUCCUGUCCAGGUUGGGGACUGUGUGCUCCAUACAAAAUUUCAAGUUGUUGAGAUGAGGAACGAUCAUGAGAUGCCUUUGAUCUUUGGAAGAUCAUUUAUGGCUACAGUGGAAGCAAUCGUCGACAUGCCUAAUAAGAGAGUCUCCUUCUCCAACAUCAACAAGAAGGUUUUCUACAAGGCUGUCCCAACCAGAUCACAAAUCCGAUAUGCCUCAUGCAUCUCAGUGGUUAGUGGAGAACAGCUGGAAAUUGUUCCUAAGAAGGAGCUUGGUAAAAAUGGUGAGAUCAAAGAAGUCCUGGAUCGAGAUCCUCACAUUGAUACCAAGAAACUCAGUGGGAAUGUAAAGCUAAAUGAAAAAGUCCAGAAGAAAAAGGUCAAGGGUGAUCCUAUGAUGACUUUGAUACCUCGCUUGUGUGAUGAGAAAUCCAUUGAGUAUGAGGUAAAGUGCAAGGGUACCUCUAAACCUUUCUCUAAAGUCAGAGCUAUUCUCACACAUGAGCUGAAAGAGAAAGGGGAAGCUGCUGUAAAAGGGUUGUUGAGUAGAGUUUUGAAGCUGAACAUGUCUGAUUGUGGAGCUUGUUUUGGAACAAGCCCUCAUGCUCAACCCGACUGAUCCCAGUCACCAAGUCAAGCUAGUGACUUAAACCAAGCGCUUGGUCGGAGGCAACCCACUGGUAAGUGUAAAUAUACCUUGGUCCGAUCAGGUUACACUGGGUAGACUUAACUCCACCUAACUUGAACCUAAUCUUGACUGAAAUUCUUCUUGUUAUGGGCAUUAGAUCAGGGAAACGAGAACACACUCAGGACUUCUUAUCCUUUUUAUCCAUCUUGCUGAUCAUGCUCAUCUUUAGCUAGUUCCCACCCUGCACCUUAGCCUUUAUUCCAUCUUCAUGCAUUAGUUUUUCAGUGUCAUAUGUGCAGAUAUGUACAAAAAGGUCGGAGACGAAAGGAUCAACGCAGCCUCCUACUCGUUACUGCUGCAGAAAUUCAGUCAGAAAGGAGAACAAGCAGAUUAAGGGAGCAACCGCUCCAUAACCAAUGAACUGCGCAAGAGCGGGGGUGGAGAACCAGAAUUGUUGCAAAAUCAGAACCACCAGUGGCACUCAUAACCAUCAUGUAUGACCUCCUUCUUCGUCACAUCACCAUAUAAAAAAAAAAAAAAAAAGAACCAAAAUAAGGUGAUGAAAAAAAAAAGAACCAAAAUAAGGUGAUGGAGAAGGGGAAGAAAUCAAAGAAACAUAGCCACUGGGAAGAUCGAGCAAAUGAGUGGGUACCAAAAGGAAAGUGGAACGCAGAACAAUCAGUUGCAUGUUCCGUCAUCAGAACAGUCGCACCAGAUAGAGCAAAAAAGAGUAGAGGCUGUGGACAUCAAUAGAUCUAUCCUCUCUUGCCAUUUUGUGCGAUAUCCUGCAUCCUCUUCAAUGAAAUGGUAGCCCCUAAACACUUUUAACUCCACCAUUAAAUAACCUGUUUCACACCUAGACCGUCUACCCUGAAUGAUGUCUGUGAUGAGAAGCUCACGCUACUCUUAAAUGAAUGUAGGGAGUUUUGUCUCGAUAGUGUUGCUUUUUCAGGUUUGAGAUGAAGAGUAUGGAGCCGAUUUUUGAACAGCAGUCAGUGGGGUUCUGGUAAGGGUGUAUUGUCCUAGUUUUAUUGCUUGCAUGGUUCAUAGAUUCGUUGUUAAAGUAUGGUUGCUGAGAAUAGGAGAGUUCUCACACUUUCAAACCUUUCUCCCUGUUCUUGAUACUUGACAUUGUUUGAGGACAAACAAGGAUCUAAGUCUGGGGGAAUUGAUAUAUGGUGUUUUUGGCAUCUUGUAUAUAUGUUUUCUAAUUGGUUUUCAAGUCAUUAUCGAGUCUUCCUAUUCCUUUUCGAGUCAUUACAGGUCUGGAGUUGCAUUGGAUUGGAGAUAGACCAGCUGGAACAAAAAGGACAGAACAUAAUGCAAUCUGGAGAUUUUCACGCGGAACAGUCUGAGUGACUGUUCCCGAUAGCGGAGCAACCCGAGUGAAUGUUCUGGAUAGAGCGGAGCAACCCGAAUGCAUGUUCCAGCGGCAGGGAUUUUUAAGGAAACUACAAGUCAUUACGGGAUUUGCCCUAAUUAUCCCAUCUUUUUCUCCCAGCCGCCUGUGGCUUUGAUAUAUCAUAUUUUUCUCUUUCUUUUNNNNNNNNNNNNNNNNNNNNNNNNNNNNNNNNNNNNNNNNNNNNNNNNNNNNNNNNNNNNNNNNNNNNNNNNNNNNNNNNNNNNNNNNNNNNNNNNNNNNNNNNNNNNNNNNNNNNNNNNNNNNNNNNNNNNNNNNNNNNNNNNNNNNNNNNNNNNNNNAUUGUUUUAGCUAAGUAUUGAUCCCAUAAAGAUAAAGUGUAAUCGUUGGUCUCUGUGGAUUCGAUCCUAAAGUGCUACAUCGACAUACCAUUCGAUUGUGGUAGUGUGCACAUUAGGUUAAUUGGUGUGCGUAUACACGUAAUAUCAAUUACCCUUGACGAGUUUUAACCUAAUUAUAUAAGCUUUGCCACCAUGUUAGAGGCAAAGUGUGCUUUUCGUGUGUUUUCUUGCUUUACUAUUUUCACAGCAAAGGUUUUCUAGGAUUUUGAUAGAUUGGAGAGAAAAUCCAAAGUUAUAUUUGUGAUUGGAACUCCAUUGAUAUCUAUUUACUAUUCUAAUGAAGUUUUCUUACUUUAUUGAUGUUAUGAAUUGCUUGGCCAUGUUUGAGUAGUUUCUUUGUUAGAUUUUAGGGUUUAAAUAGGUUAUGAGGGAUUAGCCUCAACUAUAGAUUGCUGAGUUGUGAUAAUAAUCAUUAGGAUUGUCAUUAAUGUCUGAUUCUAGAUUAGCUACCUAGAACUUGCCCUAGGAAUGUUAGAUAUAAUCGAUAGCUUUAAUCUCAUCCUGAAACCAUUCUAACUGAGCUAAGAUUCUUGCUAGAGUAAGGCGAGAGCUGAUCUAGUGAGCUUAGUGAACACAUUCAACCCGCACAUUAACGCUUGACCAAUAGCGUCGAUCGAUAUUCAAAUAGAAUAAUCGGUCGACGUUUCGAAUAGUGUAUCGAUCGAUAUUCAUAUAGAAUCAUCGAUCAGACACUGGUCAAUAGACGAACCUAGAAAGCGAGAGCCUAGUGGUUCGUUUAUAAGUGUUGAGCUCUACAUUAUCAUGCAUGCAACUCAUUAGGCAUCUGUAGGAUUAUAAUUCCAAGUCUCCUGAAUAAAAACCCUAAGUCUAGCUAUUUGCUCAACAAACUUUAAUUUUACAUUUAAAUCAAUUAAACCACCUUACAUAAUAAAUCCAAUUAUAUUUAUUAGGUUUCCUAGCUCCUUGUGGAUUCGAUCCCUAAGUACUACAAUUGAACCUCUUAUUUGAGAGAGUAAAAUCACUCCUUAGGGUAAUUUGAGUAAGAUCUCGUUUUUAUAAAAUGUGUCAUGUAAUAUAUUAGCAAAUCGAAAUUGUAUAUGACUUUAGUUUUGAUAAAGAACAUUGGAGUAUAUUGUGUAAUCGAAUUUGAGAGGUUUAUGAAGGAGAAGAAAUAUCAAUUAGCUUCUUGCAAAUUGCAUUUCUACGUGGAACCUUUGUAUAACCCAUGGAACCUUGUAUAUAUUUGAAUUUUAUAUUGACAAAAAACCGUAAAGGAUUAUAUUAGGAAAGCGAUUUUGUUGAGGUUUAUUUAGAAAAGAACAUUACAAUAAAUUUGUAAAGUUAGUUUGAGAACCUGCCACGUGGCGAAGGUAGUGUGAAUACAUUAGUGUCAAAUGUUUUUCUUUUAAUAUAUAGAGGUUUUACGAAUCUCGAAGUCGGUAGAUUUUGAGGUGAAACAAGAGAUUGUUACCUUCUGGAACCAACAGACAUGCAUGCAAUCACAUACCUUGCCUUUCUUAAGUUUCUUUUCAAGUACUUAUCUCUCUCCCACCGUGCAUGUGUGUCAUCUUCAUAGGUUUGGGAACGUUGCUGUGUCUUCUUGCUUCAUUUAAGUUCAGUUAUAUGUCCUCUUAGUCUCUUCUGUCUUGUCCUUUUCAUUAUACACCACUUCCACGUUGGUUUUUGUCACUGUUGCAUCUGUUGUGAAGUGUAACGCCUUGGAAAGGUUCCAGUGAUAAAAGAAGAGGCAUUAUUCUCAAUGCAAGAAACUUUGUUUCUAGUUACGACAACCACACCGCCCUUUCCAGAAAGCUUAUGCUAUCUCCUGGUAACUCAGACACUGCUUGGUUGCCUUAAUAUAUCCAUUAAGAGCAGAGUCUCUUUUUGUAUGUUUUAUGAAACCCCAAAGACACCUAUUCAAAAUCUUAUCACAUUUCCUAACAAUAGUAAGCUUCACCUUCACGUAUAACACAAGUCUAUGUUUUAUGUUUUGAGGAUCCCCAGACAAAUGUUUAUAUCCAUUGUUGGCUUCACAUAUCAGUUAAAAAAUCAAUAUCCGUGUUUUUAUGUUGUAAGAACCCUAAAGAGAAAUUAUCAGAGACAUUUUUCAUGCAUACAUUAUUUCACCGAAAUCAAAGAUAUAUCUUUGUUUUCAUUUAUAAUAACGUGAAAGACGCAUCUUCGGGGGAUAAUUUCAGAUUUUUGCGACGGGACAAAAGGAUCGAGACAAGAUUGCUCAAAAGAUGAUAUUAGCCAUUUUCGUUUCUUCGACGCCGCGGCAAAAGAUGAGCGUCUAAAAAAUAACAAACGAUGGAUAGAAAUAACGACAUGACAGUUGCUGACGUAACUGACGCUAAAGCUCUUUCAUCCAUUUUAAUGGUCGCCGUAAAAAACAGCGACUUCGUUACUGCCAGUGGCGGCAAUUGUUCCGUGUAUAAUUGAGUCGCAACAUCUUCAAACAAGCUGUUUUUAAUGAAAUGCUGACGUGGCAUUUGAUAUUUUUGAUCGCACGUUAUUGACGCCGUGUCUAAUAAAAGAACAGGGCUAUUGUUGUCUUUCAAGGCUCAACGGUUCCACUUCCAAACGGAAUUCCUGCUUUCACAGUUGAGAUCUUCAACACCAUGUGUCUCGGACUGCAAGAUCAUGGAGAUCAACGUCACUUGUGGCUGGUUUAGCUCAGUCAGACUGGUUAACCCUAGAGUUUUCAGGCGACUCUCCUACUACGAUUGUCUGGUUAAAGACGGUCAACCUCUUGCUCCUGGACAGACGCUCUCCUUUCUGUAUGCUAACAGCUUCUCUUACCCUCUCUCUGUUUCUUCAGUCUCUUGCUUCUGAUUUUAGACAAGUAACAAAUCGUGUUUUAUCAAAUCAAGGUCUUGGUUAAGCCAAAAGUUUCUGGUUAUGUUUUUUUUUGUCAACAAUUUCUGGUUAUGUUUAGAAACUGUUUAGUAACAAAUUUGUGAUGAGGAUAUGGAACAGAUUCUAGUGAGUCACCUUAUUCACACUCUCUAAUGUUAAUGAUGAUAAUUACAGAGGAGAUACUAUAAUACUUGUUUGAUUUAGUGAUAAGCCAAACAAAAACUUCAUAGUACAAGAGAUUACUGAUGAUCUUCAUAUCAUAAUUAAUCAUUAUUCGAACAUAAAAUCUUAUAGAAUCUCUCUAAACCUCUCUUAUUCUAAAUUGCUCCUGUCAAUGUGUGGUGGAGCCUUUCUAUAUUUAGGUUUAUAAAUUAUAAUGGUUUUGACGACUGAUUCCAGAUGCACUUUUGUCCUUUCGUAUCAGUUCGAGGCCUCUUCCCUACGGAUAAAACCCAUGCUAGAAUUGUGCUAGCCCAACAAGGGCGGGUGGGUUAGGAAGGAUAUACGUUAUUUCCUUUAUAUCACAUCAUAAAGUACUAACUCGGAUUCAACCAACUCGGAUCGGAAGACAUCGUACUACACACUUUGGGUUGCUAAGUAACCUAGGUUCGAAAAAACUCCACUACAUUUCAUAUUCUGGACACAUGGAUAUGAGGUAAUGUUUUAGGCCAUACAUUACGUUAAUUAAAAAAAAAAAACUUAACCAGAAAUUUAGUCCAUCCGUAUACUGGCCUGAGUGGGCAAAAAAACCAAACUGAUCCAACCGAACCCAAACUGAUUCCAACGAAACCAAAGUAUAUGUCUAAUCCAUUUGGUUCAAAAUUUUAUCAACCCAAAUGGUUCGGUUUGGUUUUAAACCGAACCAAACUGAAAAACCGAAGUGUUUUUAACUAGAUUAAUUAAAUAUACAAAUAAUAUUAAGAUUUAAUAUAUUUAACUAUUUAACCUAAUCAACUAAACAUAAUUUUAUACAUUUUACUUUUAAAUGAAUAGAAUAAAUACAACUAAAAAUAAAAUAAACGAAUAUAAAUCUCAUAUAUAAACAUCAAAACGGAAAGUUAUUUAUGAUAUUUAUAUUAGGUAUAUAUUAGGUUUGAAGAUAAUAAUAAAAAAAUUAUUGAAUUAAUUUUUUAUAUAUUUAUUGUGAUGUUUGGUUUUACGUUUAAAUAUGAAGGAAAUAAUGAUUUAGUAUCAAAUGGUGAUUUGUUUAUGUUUUUAUAAAUCAUAUUUUUGUAAUUGAACUUGAACAAAACAAAAAAAUCAACUCAAUUGAACUGAAAAAUACAAGAAAAACCAAAUUAAACCUAACCAAACACGAACCAAACAGAACACAAACCAAACCGAAGUAAAACAAAACCAAACUGAACAUAAACCAAACCAUACAAAUUUGGGUUGACUUUGGUUCAAGUUUUCUUAGACCCAAAUAACCCAACCAAACCGAACCCAAACCAAACCCGUAAUUAAGCUGAAAUGCCCACCCCUAGUGCUCUGCUAUCUUCGACAUGGACCCAAUGAAGUUAAAUUUAGUCUACUAAUAAAUAUCUCUUCUCAUCUCUCUAUCAAUAAAAAAACAUUUGUAAAAUUUUAUGAAAUUUCACGCAUCUCUCAUCCUCUUAAUAUAAUAGACUACCACUAUUUAUUUUUAAUAUUACCUUUAAUCCAAUUAAAUCAUGAAUUAUAAAAUAAUAAAUAAUUUUUCAAUACAAUUUUCUAACAAAUAAUAAAAUUAGUAAUUUAAUUAUAUAUAUUUAUAUUUUAAACUUUUAAGACUAAAUUUUCUUUAAAAAAAAUAAACUCAGUAAUAACCUGUAUCAUUAUUUACAUAUAUAUCAAAUCAUAUCAAUAUUUUAUUUCAAUAUAUAUUAAUAUUAGUUUGAAAUGAAUAUAAAAUGUUAUUAAUCAUUUUAAUAAUUUAGAUGUAUUAUAAAUAUAAAUACAUCGAAAAUAAUAUGAAAUGUCAUAUGUCACUUAAUUCUAUCCUAAACCAGAAAAAUUCAACAUAAUAUACUAAAUAAUAUAAUUAAUAAAUUUAGUUAUACUAAUAAAUUUAUAUUAGUCUUAAAAGUUAUGUUUGCAAGAGAAAAUUUAAUGAGAAAUUUUAUUUAAUCCAAAAUAAUAAAAAAUAAUAUUUAUAUAAUUUAUUUAUUUUAAAAAUGCAAAUAUUAAUAUAUAAUUUUUAAUAUUUAAUAAUAAAAUAUAGUAAUUUGUUAAUGUAUUAAAAACUAUCUAAAUAAUUGCGUUAGAUUCUUAUUUAUGACUCAAAAGCUGUUUUGUAUCAUAUUUUUAUCAUUUCGCCAAAAGGAUAACAAAUAUAAUUGUGACCGUGAUACUCUCUCUAUUUUAUAAUAUAAGUAACUUUACAAAAAAUGUUCCACAGUAUGUAGUUUUAAAAUUUCAAUACAACAUUUAUAUUUAUUUAAUAUUAUGUGAUCAAUUAAAUUAUGUAUUUUUUAUAAUUGGUUGAAAUUAUAUAUUAAAUGAUGCUUUUAACAAGUAACCACAUUCUUAAUAUGAGUGCUUUUAACUAAACUACAUAUAUUUUGAAACAUAUGGAGUGUGAAAAGCUUCAUUUGUUUCUAAUGAGUUUUUGUCAGCAAUGAAGGAUCUAACAAACUAUUUUCUAUUUCAAAUUUGUAGUUUUUUAUUUUUCAUAUUCUUACAUUUAUUAAAAGUUGAUUCUAAUGAAAUUUUUCUAUAAUUAACAAUUUUAAUUACUUAUAACCCAAUAUAUUCAAUUAUUUUUUAAAGUUUACAAUUUACCAUUAUUAACUAAUAAAAUUGCAUUAAAACAUUAAUAAUUUAAUAUUUGAAAAAAAUAUUUCUGAAAAUGGAGAGAGUCUAUAAAAUUGAGCAAGAACCAACAUAUUUUAUCGUAUCUUUGCUUAUAUAUAGAGAAAGACUAAAAUCCAGAACCAUAUUAUUUGUUAACAAGGCAUAUAGAAAUCAGACACUAAAAUAAAUUUAGUAGACUUAGUUUUUCCAACAAAGCAAAAACUUCUUUAUUCUUCACGAACUUUUAGUUGAAUUUACUCUUCUCUUCUUCAGAUCUUCUUCUUCACGAAUGCUCCUCAUGCAUUUUCAGUGCAAUGGCUUCUUUAUAUGCAAUUUCAAUUUUGUUGCAGAAGAUAUGAUCAAGAACAAAUACCUCCAGAGUGUGUCUAGCAUAUUCAGUUAACAGCUUCUCAUCAUCACUCUCUUCGUCAUAAUCAACCUUAAAGAAUAAUAUAAGACCAUCAAUAAAAAUAAUUUUUAAUCGAUAUGGAGCCAUAUAAACAAUGUGAAGCUAACCUCCAUACGGUUUGGAGGAACCCUUUCAUCUGGAAAUGGCUCAAGAACAGCUUUCUCCAGGAGUAACAUCGCAUCAUCAGCUAAAACAAACAUAUCAUUGUCCACACUAACAAUGGGAACUGCCAAUUCUUUGGCAGCAAAUGCUAUCUCUUUCUUAGGCUCGUCUUCAAGAGUCUUCAAUGUUUUUUCCGAAGCAUCCGAAUCAUCCUUGAGGAGCCUCACAAUUUGUUUUGAGAUUGUGAGUAUUAUUUUUUCCUUGUUGGUAUCCAAAACAAGAGAAUUUAACCCCUUAAACAAGAAAUCCAUCACCAAAGGGGAUGUAACGUUUUUGUUGAUGAAAAAGUGUUUCACAACUAGUUUCUGAAUCACAUCCAUUUUCUCUCGAGACAUCGCUCGCCUUGAUUUUUGGUCCAUCCCUAACCAGAAUGCGCAUAUGCUGCGUACCAAGGUAUUAACAGGAUACAUUCUUUGUUAUAUAUGAUGCAAUUAAUCUACUUAAAACUUUUUGAGAAAAUUUAUCAAGAAUUAAUUAACAAACAUGAAAAAACGUACUUUGUCCAUCUUGUCUUGUCGUCCAUCAACUUGUUUCGUUUUUCUUUCAUAAACCUCAAAAAAAUCUGAUUUACAACUGUAAAAUAAACCCUAAGAAGUUCCUUUCUGUACUGACUAUCAAGGCAGGGAAAAGGUCCGUUCACACUCUUUCUGCAAGGAUCAACUUUAAAGAUAAGUUGGUUGUGUGUUAAUGGUGCCAUGAAAAAAUGGAAUCACUCUAGAUAUACUCAAAAUCUUCGCAGAUGUACCUAAUGACCUGUACUUGAGCCUUAAUUAUAAGAGAGAAAGAGUCGUCUAUGAAACCAUCCAGUAAUCUAGGUAACACUAUAAACUUUUUCCAUCCCCAAUCAUGCUCUCUCUUAUAAAACUUGUGUAACGUAUUUGCAAGAAACCUGCACUACAAGGGAAGUGAGUAGAGAUAGCGCAUGAAGAUAGCAUUUUUUACGUAAAUGCUAUAAUUGAUAUAACACGCAGUUUAAGAUAGCGUUUCAAAAUGCAAAUGAUAUCUUUGUUUUUUACGGAUUCUAAAACUUUGUUUUAGAUAGCAUAUGCAUCGUUAAAAUGUUGUGUUUAAUCUAGGCAGAAAAAUUAUUUCAUUUCCCGGCAAAGACUUAGCAAAACUUAUUUCACUCUCCCUCCUAAACUCUCGAAAUUCACAACCAAAAUUUUAUUAAUUCUUUCAUAUUCUUCUUCUCUCGAUACAAAAUUUUCUUAAUUCUUUCAUUUUCUUAAUCUCUUUUUUUUUUCUCAACCAUUUUCAUAUUCUUCUUCUUUCAUUUUCUCAACCCUAAUUUAAAAACAACGGAGGAGAAAUCAACGCCAAGAAUCUUGGCCGUAGCUGUCUCCAAUUCCGAACUCUCCCCUCUCUCACAGUUACGGUAGCUCAUUUCUUCGAUUCUCCACUUCGAAAUCUCUCCUCUCUUGUAUAUCUCCUCCGAUUCAACAUCUCCAGCUGCUCAUGUCUCUGUAUCUUCUCCUAGUGCUCCUGUAAUUUCUCUCGCUCCCUUAAAGCAUGAUUCUUCAUAAGUGUUGUUGAUUUUGUGGUCUCCAAUGAUUUGCCUUGUUUGUUGGUUCUCUUAUGAAUUUCCAGAUUUAGUCCCUUCAGUUCUCUCUGGCUAUCGAUCUCCUCAAACAAAAGACGAAGCUUGUUUAAAUCUCUGUCUUUGUAGAUAGUUUAUUGUGUUUUUACGCGAGUGUUUCAUUUGGCAGGCAUUGAUUACACUGAAGAUCUUGUGACCUAUAAUGCCGCUGACCACAAGGUUGAACAAGUUUGUCUCUUUCUAUAUCUUGUCUUCACUACGAUGUUUAUGGAGCAGAAAUUUUGUUUCCACAAAGUUUGUAUGAUGCUCAAAGUUGAAGACUUUGAGACACUACAAGGGAAGGUGGUAAAGAUAGCAUAAAAAUAUGGCGUUUUGGUUUAAAAUGCUAUCUUUGACAUGAUCCAAAAUUUAAGAUAACGUUUUUACGUGGAUGCUAUUAAAAGGAGUAUAUACAAUAGCAUUGAUAAAUUUAAACGCUAUCUUUAGUCUAGGUGGAAAAUAAUUUCACUUUUGCGAUAGGUACUUAGAGCAUGCGCAAUGGGAAUCCUUAAGUGGAAGUCUUUAGAGAAAAAAUAAUUAAAUAAUCAGUAGACUCCACCAAAAGCUAAUGAUUCAAUCCUUAAAAUUUCUAAAUAAGGACUCUUUCUUAGUGAAUCCUUGCACUAUUUGCGGGUCCCCACGACUACGUGGCGGCCCGUGAAUGGUCAUCUUUUUAAAAAAAAAAAAAAAUCCAAAAUAUUCGGGAUUAAUCCGAAAUGCUCUUGUCGAUAAGGACUCCAAUGAGUUUUAUCGUUGCGCAUGCUCUUAGUGAGAAAUGAAGCUGCAAUUUUUUUUCGUUUUCCCACUCAAGUCUCGAAUAAAAUCUGAAAAAGAAAUGAAAAAAAAAAAUCUUCUCACGUUUUUAAUGAUAAAACAAAUAAAAAAUCUCCAUCUUGUUUCCCUGCCUUCAAACUCGAUUCAGAUCUAGAUUUCACACUUUCUCUCAUUUUCUUUAUCUUCUUCUUCCUCCUCAUUCUUUGCUGAGUUAUCAAGGUUUUCUUUAUACUGUUGAUUUCUUUAUUGUUCAGACUUUCGAUUCGGACAUAAAUCAAAAGUUAGAGAAGAGAGACGAGUAAGAGAAGAGAGAAUAGAGAAGAGAUAGAGUUCGGAACUGGCAAAGAAAGGAGAAGACGUGACGGCCGGAAUAAGCAGGGACGUCGCUCGGAGAUGGGAAGAGGAAGAAGAGGAGAUGACAGAAGAAGAAGCGGAGUGGUGUCGGAGAUGGCUGGUGAAGAAGACGCGACGGCAGCGGAGGUGAUACCUGAAUCUCUUUCGUAUUUGUUUCUUUCGGAUUUCGAUCGAUGUGUUUUCUUUGUUGCAGAUCCUUAAACUAGGAAGAAGAAGAAGAUCCGGUGUGGUCAGAGCCGGUCUUGAAGAAUUGGGGCCCCUAAUCUAAUUUUUUUUACUACAAGUUUAUUUAUAUUCCCUUUAUAUUUUUUCAUAAAUUUUACUAAAAAAUAUUUUAUAUUAUAACCAUAGUAAUGGUUUUACUUAAAAAAAAUAAUUUACAAAAAAAAUUAUGUCGACCAAAAAAAAAAUCUAAGUAACAAUAGGUUUAGUUUUUUAAAACGUAUUCUUGUAAGUGAGUUUACAAAGAAAAUUAUUUCUGAUGACUGAUAACAGAGUUAUUUUCUUCUGUAAUAUUAGUUUAGUUUAGAAAAAAUAACUCAGUUUUUUUGAAAAUGAGGGCCCCUUGAGGUGGAGGCCCCAUUCAAAUGUUUCACCCCCCCCACCCCACAAGCCCAGCUCUGGGUGUGGUGACAGAAGAAUAAGAAUUUGGUCAAAUACAUAUCUCGAUAAGGUAAAAUGAUAAGAGAACAUGAGCAUAAAACUCAGGUUUUGUUGUGUUUUGCUUUGUGCUGAUUCUUGACUUUCUUUCUAUGGAUUAUGUAGUACGCGAAGCCAGAGUAUGAGAUUGGAUUUCCAGGAGUACUAGAGCUUGUUAAGGAGGUGAGGAACCAUCAAACUUGUAUGAAAAUUAUGAAAAGGAAACGCAAAACCAAAGAAACUCCUAAGAAGUAUCGAAAAGGUUAGAUUUCCUGAAUCUUACUUCCAAGUUUUGAAUACACAACCGGUUACUUUUUUCGUUACAGCUAAAUAAUUUAUGGUUUCGUUGAGAUUCCAUAUACCAACCGGUUCCUUUUGCCGUAGAUUGCUUUUCAAGAAGCCACAAGGUCUCUACAUCAGCUUGAAAGAGAAGAGUGUUUUAGUAUCUCUCUCUUACCAUCUCACUUCCCUUUUCUUUUUUUGGAAUACUAAGGUGAAUAUAUAUGUUAUUUAGGGGCAAUAUUCUUAAAGUGUUGAAAGCUAUUCGUGAAUCCACUGAGUGGUCAUCACUUAGUGAAGCUCCUCAGUUUAGUUGAAGGCAAGUAAUUCUACACUGGAAGCAAGUUUCUUUUAUUCUCUUUGUAACUUUUAGUGUUCCAGAUGUGCUAACAUUACAGUGAUCGACUUCUUUGCCUUAACAAGUGAUUUCUUUACCUUUGACAUUAUGCUGUUUGAAUUCUUUUGCUUUUCAGUAACUUCUUUUGCCGUGACUUCAGGUUGCUUCUCUUUCGGCUCUUCAACAACAGGUGCUGUUUCAGCAACCUCUUUUACUUUCUCUGUUAUUGAUUCCUCUUAUUUGUUUGUUUCAGUUCCUUUCUCUUUGAUUCUGUAUCAGAUUCUUUCAAAGUCUCUUCGCUCUUGACAUCUGCAGUAGAAGUCGUCUUCUCUGUCGAAUCCAAAGAGGGAGGAGGUAAGAUCUUACGAAACCCUUUCGAAUGGUGUAAUCUUCUGUCUCCUCUCUUUCGCUUUGUACCGUUUUCUUUCCGUCGUUAGCGAUUCAAUUCCGUUUCUGGUUUUUUUUUGCAAAUUUCCGUUUCGUUUGAAAUUUUAUGUUGAUGGGUUUAUGGAAUUCGACAUGGGAUUUUGUAAUUUAGCUGAAAAUUUCGAUCUUUGGGUUUCGUUGAUCCUGGGGUUUCGUCUACUUGUUGCAGAGAUAUUUCUUCACUGGUAAACAAUGGUGAAAGCAGUAGUUGGAGAAGAGGCUAGGCUCACCUCUGCUGAAGAUCGUUCCUUUGAACCCUAAUCCUGCUGAGGUACUGAUUCAUGUUAUGUUAAAAAAUGCAUGUUUUGAUAUUGUUUCGGUUCUAAGUGUGGUUUUUGAUUUGAUGAUUUGGUGGACAAGGUGGGUCUUGUGAUAGGGAAGCUUAGCUCUGUUUUAGAUUGUGGAUUUGUGUUUGAGAGAGCAUGCUCGGUUCUGGGGACCAGAGAUGAUAAAAGGAAGCCAUCCAAGUCAAAAUCUCAGUCAUCGGAGUCGUAUUCUCUGUCGAUUGAUCGUGAUAGUAAACAAUCGCUGUAGUGCAUUCCUGGUUUAGACUUUGGUUUAGUUUUGGUUAUUUUGUAAACAAUUUUUAUAUAUAAAAUUUAAAAUAUUUUUAUUUAUAUUUUUUUAGUUUUUUUAAUAAUCUAUAAUAGCGAUUAUUACGUGCGAUUAUAAGAAAUACAAUUGCACAACUAAUGAAACGCUUUCAAAGCAUAUAUAAAACGCUAUCUAAAGUGCUCGAGAAAAGAUUGCGGGGGAAGAUACAACGUUUGCCAUAACGCUGUGCUAUUUUGCAAUAGUAUUUUCCUCAUGCUAUAUAUGAGACAUGUUUUUGUAGUGAGAGUGUUACUUGUUCAAACUUUGAGAUGCAAGCGUAAUGUGAUGUAGCAAACGAUGCUACUUGUAGCUAGUUUCUUGUGUUCUUACUUGUUCCUUUUGAAUUUUGGCAGGCAUUGAUUACAUUGAAGAAGGGCUUUCAGCUUUUGAUAUAUGGUUGCAAAGGAAAGGCAAAGUUUUAUCCUUUUAGAUUGUCUAGUCGUUUUCUGCUGUAUCUGAGAAAAGUAUUCUCGUUGGUGUUAGUUUUGCAGGAUGAUAAGCCUUUGAUCUUGAUAUCUAGUAGCAGCGAAAAGAGUAAGUUAGCUUCUGUAUCUAAAGUUGUACCUGGAAAAAGAACUGUAAGAAGACAUUUUUCAUUUUCUUAUGAAAGUUUGUUCUUUUUGGAUCUUGUUCUGAAAUAUAUGGUUUAAAUAUUGAAUCUUUCAAAGCUGUCUUCUUUCAGAUUUGAUCUUUUGUAUGAGACAAUCUAAAUUUCUAUGUCGUUUAUGAGAGAAUCUAAACUUCUAUGUCGUUUAACAAAUUGCAUCCAUCCUUCUAUUUAAAAAAAAAAAAAUUUGCAGGUCUUGCAAAUCUCUUAGUUACAGGUUAGAUCUCGAUCCAGAGCUUGGUUUUGUGUAGCCGCUAUGUCUAUGUUGUGUCCCUUUACUGUUCUUUUCUGCAAGUCACAAAAAUGGUUUGAUAGUGAUAUUGAAGAGUCUUCAUACCUGUCUUAGGGAAUCAAUGUGAAUCAAAAUAGGAUUUUGAGUUAUUGAGUAAUGAACUUUGCAUUGAGGUCUUGUGGGUUUGAUUGUUUUGUGUUCUGUAGUUACUUUGGUUUAAGGAAAUGUGCGGGGCAAAUUACAAUCAAGUAUGGAGAUACCUGUUUUGCGGACUCCCAGCAAACGGAAUCAAACCACAGCUCCAUCAACAGCCACGACAAGAAGCAGAUGAUGAUCAAGGAAGUGAUGUGGAGGAGAUCACACGAGUAGAGUUCAGACUCUCCAUGGGAUACUUUAUACGUGUUGAGGAAGCGGAAGAAGACAUCGAUCCUAUGUUCCGGAGAGUUGUCCAAAAACUCAAAGACAAUGCACGCCCAAAACGAGAACAAGGAGAGUCCUCACGAGGCAAGUCUCGUCGCCGAGACUAAGGCAUUGUACCAACACUUUUCAUGUGAGAUAGAGAUCAAAAUAAAUUGAGAUGUUUGCUUGUAGUUGUUUCUUCUCACUUUAUUUUUUACUAGUGAUUACAUUUAUGAUUUUCCUUUGACGUUGAAUGAAAACUUCGAGAACAAGGGAACUGGAAUAUACCCAAUUUUUAUAUAUCAAAAUUUUAAAAUAUUUUUAUUUUUUAAUUUUUUAAUAAUGAUAUAAUAGCAAUUAUUAUAUGCUAUUAUAAGAUAUACAAUUGCAUAACAAAAUAAACGCUAUUGAAUGAAUAAUUUCAUAUAGCACCUAAAAACCGCUAUAUAAAGUGUCGAAGAAAAGAUAACGGAGGCAGACACAACACACUUAAAAACGCUAUGUAUCAAUACAAUAUUAAAAUGGAUAUAUGAGGAGUAGAGAGGGUGUCCACGUCGGAUAAUAAAAUCAACCAAUCAGGAGAUCCCGUUUUGACACGUGAGCAAACUCUCUCCUGCAUUUUGUUCAUUUACGGUAUGUAUUAUUUGGGCUUUCUAAAUAUUGAAUUGUGUGGGUUUGUAUAAUAUUUAUAUUUGGGCCCUCGGUUAGUAUGGCCCAGAGUUAGACGUAGAAAACCUUUCUAUAUUGUCUUCAUCGCCGCUUUCCUUUGAACCCUAAUCACAGUUCUUCGUCGAACUGCAGAUCUUUGUAACGGCUUCACCUUCGUGCCAUUAAUCACAGUUAAUUCGAUCUCCACUACGACUGUUUACUUCAGAAAGUUCUAACUCUUCAGAUUCUUCGGGAUUAUGAACCUAUAAAUAAACGUCUCUGGCUUGAUGGUCCUCACAGAUUCAUCGCUCCUUCCAGCUCAUAACUCAUACAAAGUCCUGCAAGAACGAUGGCUGCUUCCCAUAUCUCCCUUUCCGACUUGAAGACAAGAUGUUGUACUCGAACCAUUGUCACACGCUUGCUUACUCUGAUUUUGGGAAGCAAGGAAUGUUUAGAAGGAGAAUACAAUUCUGAGACUGUUUAUAACGUCUCACCAGAUUCACCUGAAGGGGAAUCCACCGAAAAAGGGUCGGAAUGCAAAGUCCUUUAAGUAGCAGAUAUGAGAAACUAUGCCAAAGUGACAUACGCUUUGUCUUUUGUCGCUCAGUUUAUGCUAGGACAGUUGGUCCACUAUCUAAUUUAAAAUUCAUUUGUGUUUGUUUCUAUUUGCUAGCUGUUUGAAGUUUUUAAUAUUACUCUUUUCUUAUUUUAUAAUGAACCCACUUUUAUGGAAUACAUGACUUGAUACGUAUAUGAAACAUAUAUUAAAAUCAUGCAGUGUUCUGUCCUCAUUAUUAGUCAACUAAAGGCACUCAAACAUAGCAGUAUAGCGAGAAUCAUAUCAAACCUUGAAGACUCGAGACCUGAGCAAAAUUAUGGUUAAUAAAAGAAGAAUAAUAGCUACAAAAAGUCAGUAAAAUUAUGGUUAAUACAUUGAUAUUAAUACACUAAUUGUCACCAAACGAGUCUGUUAACCCCUUUACCUUUCGCCCCCGUCAGUAGGUAUGUUAUGCAAUGAUCUGAAGCUAUAUAAAAAGGUAAAUUGUAAUUAGCAAAAAAGGAUGCGUGACAUUAUAAAUGAGAAUAUUUUAAAAGCAGUUUUUAAAUUUUUGUAGUACGUUAAAAAAAACAUUUUAAAACACCAUAUUCAAAUUGAAAAUACAUAGUUUCCUUUCAUUGAAAAAAAUUAAACUAUUAUCUGUAGUAAGAACCCAUAAGAAUUAAAAAAUAUACUAAUAAGAAUUUAUUAUUACAAUAAAUUUUGUGGGAAAAGUUAUACAGUUAAAUUAUACUGAAAUUAUGUUUAAAAAUAUAUAUUUGAAGGAAUCUUUAAAGAAAUAAUAUUUAAAUUAAUAAAGCCCAAGCUUAAAUAAACUUUUAUCAUUUAUUAGUUUUUAUAUUAAAUAAAUUAAAAUUUUGAGUCAUAAAUUUACAUACAUAAUUAUGAUAGAUAUUUGAUGGCCAAUUAUGAUAUAUUUUUUUGUUAUAAAGAGAUAAAAUUCUUCUAUAUUUUUUUUUUGAAACACAGAUUCUUCUAUGUUACAAUGUGGUUUUCGAUAUAAUAUUAAUUUCACAUUUACAUACAAAAAGAGUAAUGACUAUUUAUUAAAUAAAUAUGUUGGAUAAAUUAUCGAGAUAUAAAUAAAAUACAAUAUAAAAAUACAUAUGAUUAAUAAAUAAUCAAAUUAAAUAUAAUUAUAUUUAUAUUUAUUUUAGAAUAUAUACUCCGCGCGUAGCGCGGAAAAAAGAUCUAGUAACUGUAAUAGCGUUUUACAGACGCUAUAUAUGACCAUUUUUCUUGUAGUCCUGUUUAGUUUUGUCUAGUUAUAAUGGGAUUUAAGUAAAAGCGUCGAACAAUAACCUGAAUGUUUCGAUUUAUUUGGAUGUUUAUUCAUCAAAGAUACAGUGAACACAGCAAAAUGAUUCCAACCUGUCUCCAAAAGCUGUUAACCUAAAUGAUAAAUUAGUUUAAAUAGGUUUGCCGAUCGAGACAAUAAUACUCACCUGGAAGAAGUUUAUGAUGGUUUGCAGCACAGAGAAACACAGAGAGAUGGUUGCAUAUUUCACACCCUUGUCGAUAGAAUAAAAUAUACCUAUGAUAGGUAUAGACAAAUAAGAAAAAUAGUCAGCUUUCCUAAACCGUCAAGGAGUCUUCGCACGGGUACAAUUACAAGAACAACGGCCACAUGCAACAUCAGCUUGCAAACAAGGAACAUCGGACUAAUGCUAGGCCUACUCAAUCAUUGGUUGCCUACAAGGAUCACAAUGCUAAACGCUUUAGCGGCUCGAGGUAUGACAGUAGUGAAAGGAAAUACGAAUUGGAGGCUCCUCGUGCGAAUUACAAAGGCCAUGCUGAUAGGAUCAUACGUAGUCGGGAUGACUCUUCUCGGAGCACCCGUUAUGGUGGUUCGCGAGUUGGUACAGGUCCUUACGACCGUCACAACAGAUUAACCUAGAGGGAAAAGAAAACAAAGAGUUGUCAUGGAAAUGAUUCUGUACGUGAUCAUGUGGAAAGAGCAAUUGGUGAUCGACAUGCUGUUUCUUAUAUAUGGACAUGCAACGUCGGUUAGCUACAAAGACUCACCACCUCAAGAGCGUAAGAGCUCUGAGAAAAAGAAUACGGGCGAGGCUAAUAAUACAAGAAGACUAGCCAGUGCUAUUGUUACACCAUCUCGGAGUGAUCACGGAAUGGAUGAGAACGUAACUAAACGCUCAAAAGGGGCUCCUCGGUCUCUAGUGUUUAACACAUUGACUGAGCAAGACCCUAAACCUGUUGCGGAAGAUGAUCAGUUUAUUGAAGCACUGAAUGAUAUGGAUAUUGCGGAUCAGCCAGAUGGUGGGUUGAUGGAUUGUGAAAUGCAAAAUGAUGAUUUAAUGGGUUUGUAACUUGCGGAGAUGGAGGAUAAGGCCGGCCAUGGUGUUGAACACAAGUCCCAAAAAUCUGCUGCUAAAGCGUCGAGGAGUAGCAAGCAUGGUUCCAAAUCGAGUGCUCCUUUGGGCAUUCAGACAAAGAAAUUUGAGAUCCUUCUUCGAGGAUCUCCACAGAAGAGAUCAUCUUCGUCUCACGUAGCUCGUACGGCUGGUGGAUCUGGAAAUUCAAGAUGCCACCUCCCCAUCUCGAAGAAACAAAAAACAGGUUCGUCCAAGAGUGAUGGUUCGAUGGGGUCCAAAAAUCCAUCCCACCUUUAUCAAUGAGGACGCUCAGUUAGAACUGUCGAGGGAUUGGAAACGACUUCACAGUUCGACGCCAUACGGAGAUGUGUCAAAAACAUCGCCCAUGACUUGUGUUUCUUUUUGAGACGAAGAACAUGAGGCUGCUGUUGCAAAACAUUCAGGCCGACUUAAGAUUUGAUCAUUUGUUUCCCGUUGAGCCGCUUGGUCUUAGCGGAGGUUUAGCUCUUUUAUUUAUGGAUGAAUUUCAAGCUAAUGUUUUAUUUUCGAAUAACAGAAUGAUUGACAUUGAGGCAGUCAUUGAUGGAAUAAAAGUCUUUAUGACAUUUGUUUAUGGAAACCAUGUCUUAGAACGUAGAGAACAUGUUUGGGAACGUCUUACGCGUUUCUCAACAACACAAAAUGGACCUUGGUUCAUGAUAGGUUAUUUUAAUGAAAUUACUGAUCAUAGCGAGAAAGAGGGAGGCAGAAAGCGUUCUGACAGCUCUUUCUUGCCCUUCAAGCAUAUGCUAAGUGACUGUGGUAUGCUAGAAUUUCCAUUUACUGGGAAUAAGCUUUCUUGGGUUGGAAAAAGAUCAGGAGGGACAACUGUUAAAUGCAGAUUGGAUAGAGCAGUGGUUAAUAAGGAUUGGCAUGAAAAGUUUCCUCAUUCAGCUGUCAAGUAUCUCAGGCUUUGGGGAUCGGAUCAUGGUCCGGUCCUAGCGGAUAUUCUCACAAAACCAGUGAGGAAAAAAAAAGAAGUUUAAAUUUGAUAAACGUUGGUUGGACAACGAGGAGCUAAGGCAAGUCAUUCUGGAAGAAUGGAAGUCAGAGGAUCUGCCUCCUGAAGCGAAUAUAAUGGAACAUAUUGCUAGUUGUCGGAAAGCUUUGAGCCAAUGGAGGAAAAGCAAUACGAAUUCAGAAAAUCUAGUGGAGGAGCUUAAGGAGAAGGUAGAUGGUCUUUAUUCGAAUGAUGAUGCUAUUUCCGAGGAAAUAUCAGAAGCUCUAAAGGAACUAUCUACUGCUCUUAAGGCAGAAGAGCUGUUUUGGAAACAUAAAAGUAGGGUUCUCUGGUUAAGGGAAGGUGAUACGAAUUCAAAAUACUUCUAUGCGUUAGUGAAGCAAAGGAGAGCAAGGAAUAGGAUAACACAACUCCUAGAUGAAAAUGGAAAUGUGGUGGAGGAUGAGGAAGGAUUAGUAGCCAUUGCUACUAGCUAUUUUAGACAAAUAUUUGAGUCUUCCAACCCAGAGGAUAUAGCUGAUGCGCUCACAAAGGUAUCGACGACGAUUACUGGGGAAAUAAAUGAAGAUCUUACAGCUCCAAUAACUGAAUGGGAGGUCAAAUUAGCGUUGUUUUCUAUGCACCCAUAAAAAGCCCCAUGACAAGAUGGAAUGACAACUCUUUUCUACCAGAAGUUUUGGGAUAUUGUCGAAGAUGACUUAACUCGUAUGGUUAAUCAGUUCCUUUUUGAAGGGACAAUGGCGCAUGGCCUAAAUGACACAAAUAUAUGUUUGAUCCCUAAGAAAACGAAGCCGAAUGAGAUGACAAAGUUUAGACCUAUCAGUCUAUGUAAUGUCAGCUAUAAGAUAAUAUCUAAGGUCUUAUGCCAAAGAUUGAAGAAGAUUCUGCCACAGAGGAUAUCUGAAACCCAGUCAGCCUUUGUUGCUGGAAGACAGAUCACAGAUAAUAUCAUGAUAGCUCAGGAGAUGUUCCACGCAUUGAGAACAAAACCGGGAGGACAAGUUAAGAGAAUUGCCAUAAAAACUGAUAUGAGUAAAACAUACGAUAGGAUGGAAUGGUCAUUCAUUGAGGCAGUCAUGAGAAAGAUGGGAUUUUCAGACAUAUGGAUUGAUUGGAUUAUGAGAUGUAUCACCUUGGUCAAGUAUAAGGUUCUAAUGAAUGGUGAAGCGAGGGGAAAUAUUGUUCCUGGGAGAGGUUUAUGUCAAGGAGAUCUUUGGUCUCCUUUCAUAUUUUUUCUAUACACGGAAGCGCUCGUUAGCCUUCUUAAUCAUGCACAUAAUCAAGUGAAGAUAACAUGGAUGUGAGUCGCACGCGCUAUCCCCUCGGUAUCACACCUUCUCUUUGCUGAUGAUAGCUUUUUCUUCUUUAAGGCGGAGCCUCGUGAAUGUGAAGAAGUUAUGAAAGUAGUCAGAAAAUAUGGGAAAGCAUCAGGCCAAUGUAUCAAUUUUGAUAAAGUGUAAUUUAUUUGCUUUUUUAAAAGAAAAGCUAUUACACAGAGUGAAUGGUUGGACUGGUAGAUGGCUAUCUAAGGGAGGAAAGGAAGUUUUAAUUAAAUCUAUCUGCUCUUCCGACUUAUGUCAUGUCCAGCUUCCUGCUUCCUUUGGAGAUAUGUGAGAACCUAGCAAGUGUCAUUGCACAAUUCUGAUGGAGCUCGAAUCCACCAAAAAGAGGAAUCCACUGGGCAAAAUGAGAAAAAAUGUGUGCACCUCGAGAGGAGGGAGGAAUUAGUUUCCGAAUGAUCCAUGAAUUCAAUCUAGCUCUUUUAGCUAAACAGCUUUGGCGUCUUUUUCAAUUUCCAGACUCAUUAGUGGCGAGAGUUCUUCAGGAGAAAUAUUACAGUCUGAGUUCGCCAUUGCGAACUGGCGUAGUGGAUACCCCAUCGUAUGUAUUGAUGAGUAUUAUAGCUGCGAGAAAGCUACUACUUUUGGGUAUCAGAAGCAAAGUGCACUCAGGAUAUGAAGUUAAUGUGUGGGAGGAUCCUUGGAUUCCAUCGACGCCAGCAAGACCGGCUCGCUCUCGGGUACUAGUAGUACACCCAAAGAUGACCGUCAGCACUCUUAUUAAUUUCGAAUCAAAGGAGUGGGAUGCAAGACUAUUGGAACAAUAUGUGGAUCAAAAGGAUAUACUGAUGAUUUAGAGUUUUGGCCAUAAGCCCUACUCAUCGACGUGAUACAUUUUGCUGGAGUUACACUAAAAAUGGUCAAUAUACUGUCAAGUCUGGAUAUUGGGUUGCUUCAAAUUUGAUGAGAACAGACGAGGAUUUAGAAGUUCUACAACCCAGUAUAACGAAACUUCAAGCUUUUGCUUGGACCGUGAAUGCACCACAAAAAAAUUUGCCAUCUUAUAUGUCAAUUAAUCUCAGGACAAGUAGCGGUAACAAGGAAUCUGGUACGCCGCAAUAUGCGAUGUGAUAAUUACUGCCCAAGAUGUGGAGAGCCAGAAGAAACUGUUACUCAUGCGAUCUUUGAAUGCCCACCGGCCUUACAAGCAUGAGCAUUAUCAUCAACACCGUCGAGCUCUCAAACUUUUCAUGUACCAAGGUUUUACGCGAAUAUGGACUACCUUUUUUGGAGGAAGAAUAAUAUUAUGAAGCGAGAAGAAGAUAGAGACCCUUAUCCUUGAAUAAUUUGGUACAUCUGGAAAGCCAGGAAUGAUAAGUUGUUCAGAGGCAUAGACAGAGACCCAUUGGAACUAGUCAGGUAUGCAGAGAGUGAGUGCUAAGCUUGGUAUAAUGCGAAGGAAACUAUACAUGCUCCUCCACAGGGACAAUUUUCUGAAGAAACAUUGGCCUUAAGCUUGGGUAAUAUUUGUAUAGUGGAUGGUUCAUGGACCUCCACAGCUCAGUUUAGUGGAAUGGGAUGGGUCUGGAAGGAUAGCAUAGGGAAGAUCCAACUUAUGGGGACAAAGAACUUAAGGAGGCGUGAGACAGCGUUACACUCGGAACUGGAAGCGCUAAAAUGGGCAAUGGAGAGUAUGAUACAACACUCAACCUGUAAGAGAUUUAGGACGGAUUGCAAGAACUUGAUUGCAAUGAUAGAAGAGCCACAAGCUUAGCCCAAUUUAUCAACUGAGCUGGAAAUAUUCAAACUCUUAGGUUGUGUUUUUUGGACUUCAAGAUCAGUUACUUCCCAAUGACGCAAAAUGAGAUUGCAGAUUCGCUAGCUAGGAAUGCACGUUCUUUUCAUAGAUCUUUAUGUUUUAUUGGUUGUUCUAUUCCGGUCUGGCUACCCAGACCACCUCAAGUUUGAGUAAUAGAAUAGCCGUUUGCUGCCACAAAAAAAAAAGAUAUAGAUUAAGAACAUUUGAAGUGUAUUAAUAUAUCCACCCGAGAACAAAAUGUCAUUUACCACUGAUGGACACCAAUUUCAAAAACAUUGCUACGGAUCUCUUUCUUACAUAUUUCUGAAAAUUUUCCAAUAUUCCAUGUAUAUGUCCCAUAUAAUUCCAGCGUGGGAUAGGUAUAAAAAUUAUUAAAAAAAAAAACAAAUUUGAAUAAAAACGGACCAUGAAAACAUAGAGUAGGACAUAGCAAGAAAAAGGAGUAUUUUGAGAUUAAAACAAUUAAAGAACGAAGUGCAAAUGAAAAGAAAAAUACUCAAACGCAUACCAGAAUCUUCAUUAGUAAUCUCAGACAUUUCCCUGGAGUGUUUCGUCUCCUUCAAACUAAAAAAAGGUUAGGGACAAGGCCGUUAAAACACGAAAAAGUGCUUGUCUAUCAACUAACGAAAGAUAAGAGAGACAAGGGAAGCAAAACCUGGAAGAAAAAGCAGAGAGGAGCAAUUGUUUCGGAACGAUUAAGAACGAAUAAUGGGGAGUAAUACUCUUAAAUCGGUUAUGGAAGAUAUACAAAAUUAUUAUAAUAUACGAUUAAAGAUCUUCCAAACAAACAAAAAAAGUAAAAAAAAAGUCAAGAAAGAGUGAGAAUAGUCAAUUGACUCAAUUCCUCUUUAUUUCUUAAAUUUGAUAUCAUUUAUAAGGAAUAUUUUUUUUAAUGUUCUUAGUCAUUCAUUUAAUUUAAGGAAUUAUAUAGGGUUCAAAUGGUGACCAAAUGAAUGAAUUGGAAUAGUCAUUUCCUCUUUAUUUCUUAAAUUUGAUACUAUUUAUGAAUAAUUUUUUUUAAUGUUAUAUUUAAUUUCUUUAUCAUUCCUCUUUAUUUCUCUCUUAAACUAAAAGGAACGAGAAAGAAUAUUAAGGAAAAAUAUUUAUAAAUAAAGAUCACAUGCUGCUGAACAUUCUUCAUUAUUUUUAAAAAUAUUUUUAUUCAUAAAUAUCUUUAUUUCAGAACAAGAUCCAGAAAGAACAAACUUUCAUAAGAAAAUGAAGAAUAUCUUCUUACAGUUCUUUUUCCUGGUACAAUUUUAGAUAAAGAAGCUAACUUACGCUUUUCAAAGGCUUAUCAUCCUGCAAAACCAACACCAACGAGAACACUUUCUCAGAUACAGCAGAAAACGACUAGACACUCUAAAAGGAUAAAACUUUGCCUUUCCUUUGCGGCCAUAUAUCAAAAACUGAAAGCUCUUCAUCAAUGUAAUCAAUGCCUGCCAAAAUUCAAAAGGUAAAAGUAAGAACACAAGAAACUAGGUACAAGUAGCAUCGUUUGCUACAUCACAUUACACUUGCAUCUCAAAGUUUGAACAAGUAACACUCUCAAAGUCUUCAACUUUGAGCUUCAUACAAACUUUGUGGAAACAAAAUUUCUGCUCCAUAGACAUCGUAGUGAAGACAAGAGAUAGAAAGAGACGAACUUGUUCAACCUUGUGGUCAGCAGCAUUAUAGGUCACAAGAUCUUCAGUGUAAUCAAUGCGCCAAAUGAAACACUCGCGUAAAAACACAAUAAACUAUCUACAAAGACAUAGAUUCAAACAAGCUUCGUAUUUUGUUUGAGGAGAUCAAUAGCCAGAGAGAACUGAAGAGACUAUAUCAGGAAAUUAAUAAGAGAAUCAACAAACAAGGCAAAUCAUUGGAGACCACAAAAUCAACAACACUUAUGAAGAAUCAUGCUUUAAGGGAGCGAGAGAGAUUACAGGAGCACUAGGAGAAGAUACAGAGACAUGAGCAGCUGGAGAUGUUGAAUCGGAGGAGAUAUACAAGAGAGGAGAGAUUUCGAAGUGGAGUGGUUCUAAGUGUAGGCUUUUCGCUUUCUUAAAAGAUAAGCUGCUGCACAGAGUGAAUGGAUGGACUGGUAGAUGGCUAUCUAAAGGAGGAAAGGAGGUGCUAAUUAAAUCCAUUUUGCUGGCCCUUCCGACUUAUGUCAUGUCCAGCUUCCUGCUUCCUUUGGAGAUAUGUGAGAACCUAGCAAGUGUCAUUGCACAAUUCUGAUGGAGCUCGAAUCCACCAAAAAGAGGAAUCCACUGGGCAAAAUGAGAAAAAAUGUGUGCACCUCGAGAGGAGGGAGGAAUUAGUUUCCGAAUGAUCCAUGAAUUCAAUCUAGCUCUUUUAGCUAAACAGCUUUGGCGUCUUUUUCAAUUUCCAGACUCAUUAGUGGCGAGAGUUCUUCAGGAGAAAUAUUACAGUCUGAGUUCGCCAUUGCGAACUGGCGUAGUGGAUACCCCAUCGUAUGUAUUGAUGAGUAUUAUAGCUGCGAGAAAGCUACUACUUUUGGGUAUCAGAAGCAAAGUGCACUCAGGAUAUGAAGUUAAUGUGUGGGAGGAUCCUUGGAUUCCAUCGACGCCAGCAAGACCGGCUCGCUCUCGGGUACUAGUAGUACACCCAAAGAUGACCGUCAGCACUCUUAUUAAUUUCGAAUCAAAGGAGUGGGAUGCAAGACUAUUGGAACAAUAUGUGGAUCAAAAGGAUAUACUGAUGAUUUAGAGUUUUGGCCAUAAGCCCUACUCAUCGACGUGAUACAUUUUGCUGGAGUUACACUAAAAAUGGUCAAUAUACUGUCAAGUCUGGAUAUUGGGUUGCUUCAAAUUUGAUGAGAACAGACGAGGAUUUAGAAGUUCUACAACCCAGUAUAACGAAACUUCAAGCUUUUGCUUGGACCGUGAAUGCACCACAAAAAAAUUUGCCAUCUUAUAUGUCAAUUAAUCUCAGGACAAGUAGCGGUAACAAGGAAUCUGGUACGCCGCAAUAUGCGAUGUGAUAAUUACUGCCCAAGAUGUGGAGAGCCAGAAGAAACUGUUACUCAUGCGAUCUUUGAAUGCCCACCGGCCUUACAAGCAUGAGCAUUAUCAUCAACACCGUCGAGCUCUCAAACUUUUCAUGUACCAAGGUUUUACGCGAAUAUGGACUACCUUUUUUGGAGGAAGAAUAAUAUUAUGAAGCGAGAAGAAGAUAGAGACCCUUAUCCUUGAAUAAUUUGGUACAUCUGGAAAGCCAGGAAUGAUAAGUUGUUCAGAGGCAUAGACAGAGACCCAUUGGAACUAGUCAGGUAUGCAGAGAGUGAGUGCUAAGCUUGGUAUAAUGCGAAGGAAACUAUACAUGCUCCUCCACAGGGACAAUUUUCUGAAGAAACAUUGGCCUUAAGCUUGGGUAAUAUUUGUAUAGUGGAUGGUUCAUGGACCUCCACAGCUCAGUUUAGUGGAAUGGGAUGGGUCUGGAAGGAUAGCAUAGGGAAGAUCCAACUUAUGGGGACAAAGAACUUAAGGAGGCGUGAGACAGCGUUACACUCGGAACUGGAAGCGCUAAAAUGGGCAAUGGAGAGUAUGAUACAACACUCAACCUGUAAGAGAUUUAGGACGGAUUGCAAGAACUUGAUUGCAAUGAUAGAAGAGCCACAAGCUUAGCCCAAUUUAUCAACUGAGCUGGAAAUAUUCAAACUCUUAGGUUGUGUUUUUUGGACUUCAAGAUCAGUUACUUCCCAAUGACGCAAAAUGAGAUUGCAGAUUCGCUAGCUAGGAAUGCACGUUCUUUUCAUAGAUCUUUAUGUUUUAUUGGUUGUUCUAUUCCGGUCUGGCUACCCAGACCACCUCAAGUUUGAGUAAUAGAAUAGCCGUUUGCUGCCACAAAAAAAAAAGAUAUAGAUUAAGAACAUUUGAAGUGUAUUAAUAUAUCCACCCGAGAACAAAAUGUCAUUUACCACUGAUGGACACCAAUUUCAAAAACAUUGCUACGGAUCUCUUUCUUACAUAUUUCUGAAAAUUUUCCAAUAUUCCAUGUAUAUGUCCCAUAUAAUUCCAGCGUGGGAUAGGUAUAAAAAUUAUUAAAAAAAAAAACAAAUUUGAAUAAAAACGGACCAUGAAAACAUAGAGUAGGACAUAGCAAGAAAAAGGAGUAUUUUGAGAUUAAAACAAUUAAAGAACGAAGUGCAAAUGAAAAGAAAAAUACUCAAACGCAUACCAGAAUCUUCAUUAGUAAUCUCAGACAUUUCCCUGGAGUGUUUCGUCUCCUUCAAACUAAAAAAAGGUUAGGGACAAGGCCGUUAAAACACGAAAAAGUGCUUGUCUAUCAACUAACGAAAGAUAAGAGAGACAAGGGAAGCAAAACCUGGAAGAAAAAGCAGAGAGGAGCAAUUGUUUCGGAACGAUUAAGAACGAAUAAUGGGGAGUAAUACUCUUAAAUCGGUUAUGGAAGAUAUACAAAAUUAUUAUAAUAUACGAUUAAAGAUCUUCCAAACAAACAAAAAAAGUAAAAAAAAAGUCAAGAAAGAGUGAGAAUAGUCAAUUGACUCAAUUCCUCUUUAUUUCUUAAAUUUGAUAUCAUUUAUAAGGAAUAUUUUUUUUAAUGUUCUUAGUCAUUCAUUUAAUUUAAGGAAUUAUAUAGGGUUCAAAUGGUGACCAAAUGAAUGAAUUGGAAUAGUCAUUUCCUCUUUAUUUCUUAAAUUUGAUACUAUUUAUGAAUAAUUUUUUUUAAUGUUAUAUUUAAUUUCUUUAUCAUUCCUCUUUAUUUCUCUCUUAAACUAAAAGGAACGAGAAAGAAUAUUAAGGAAAAAUAUUUAUAAAUAAAGAUCACAUGCUGCUGAACAUUCUUCAUUAUUUUUAAAAAUAUUUUUAUUCAUAAAUAUCUUUAUUUCAGAACAAGAUCCAGAAAGAACAAACUUUCAUAAGAAAAUGAAGAAUAUCUUCUUACAGUUCUUUUUCCUGGUACAAUUUUAGAUAAAGAAGCUAACUUACGCUUUUCAAAGGCUUAUCAUCCUGCAAAACCAACACCAACGAGAACACUUUCUCAGAUACAGCAGAAAACGACUAGACACUCUAAAAGGAUAAAACUUUGCCUUUCCUUUGCGGCCAUAUAUCAAAAACUGAAAGCUCUUCAUCAAUGUAAUCAAUGCCUGCCAAAAUUCAAAAGGUAAAAGUAAGAACACAAGAAACUAGGUACAAGUAGCAUCGUUUGCUACAUCACAUUACACUUGCAUCUCAAAGUUUGAACAAGUAACACUCUCAAAGUCUUCAACUUUGAGCUUCAUACAAACUUUGUGGAAACAAAAUUUCUGCUCCAUAGACAUCGUAGUGAAGACGAGAGAUAGAAAGAGACGAACUUGUUCAACCUUGUGGUCAGCAGCAUUAUAGGUCACAAGAUCUUCAGUGUAAUCAAUGCGCCAAAUGAAACACUCGCGUAAAAACACAAUAAACUAUCUACAAAGACAUAGAUUCAAACAAGCUUCGUAUUUUGUUUGAGGAGAUCAAUAGCCAGAGAGAACUGAAGAGACUAUAUCAGGAAAUUAAUAAGAGAAUCAACAAACAAGGCAAAUCAUUGGAGACCACAAAAUCAACAACACUUAUGAAGAAUCAUGCUUUAAGGGAGCGAGAGAGAUUACAGGAGCACUAGGAGAAGAUACAGAGACAUGAGCAGCUGGAGAUGUUGAAUCGGAGGAGAUAUACAAGAGAGGAGAGAUUUCGAAGUGGAAAAUCAAAGAAAUGAUUUACCGUAGCUGUGAGAGAGGGGAGAGUUCGGAAUUGGAGCCGGCUACAACAAAGAUUCUUGGUGUUGAUUUCUCCUCCGUUGUUUUUAAAUUAGGAUUGAGAAAAUGAAAGAAGAAGAAUAUGAAAAUGGUUGAGAAAAAAAAGAUUAAGAAAAUGAAAGAAUUAAGAAAAUUUUGUAUCGAGAGAAGAAGAAUAUGAAAGAAUUAAGAAAAUUUUGGUUGUGAAUUUCGAGAGUUUGGGAGGGAGAGUGAAAUAAUUUUUGGUAAGUCUUAGGCGGGAAAUGAAAUAAUUUUUUGGCUUAGAUUAAACACAACGUUUUAACGAUACAUAUGCUAUCUAAAACAAAGUUUUAGAGUCCGUAAAAAACAAAGAUAGCAUUUGCAUUUUGAAACGCUAUCUUAAACUGCGUGUUAUAUCAAUUAUAGCAUUUACGUAAAAAUGCUAUCUUCAUGCGCUAUCUUUACUCACUUCCCUUGCAGUGCAGGUUUCUUGCAGAUACGUUACACAAUUUUUAUAAGAGAGAGCAUGAUUGGGGAUGGAAAAAGUUUAUAGAGUUACCUAGAUUACUGGAUGGUUUCAUAGACGACUCUGGCUCUCUUAUAAUUAAGGCUCAAGUACAGGUCAUUAGGCACAUCUGAGAAGAUUUUGAGUAUAUCUAGAGUGAUUCCAUUUUUUCAUGGUACCAUUAAAACACAACCAACUUAUCUUUAAAGUUGAUCCUUGCAGAAAGAGUGUGAACGGACCUUUUCCCUGCCUUGAUAGUCAGUACAGAAAGGAACUUCUUAGGGUUUAUUUUACAGUUGUAAAUCAGAUUUUUUUGAGGUUUAUGAAAGAAAAACGAAACAAGUUGAUGGAGGACAAGACAAGAUGGACAAAGUACGUUUUUUCAUGUUUGUUAAUUAAUUCUUGAUAAAUUUUCUCAAAAAGUUUUAAGUAGAUUAAUUGCAUCAUAUAUAACAAAGAAUGUAUCCUGUUAAUACCUUGGUACGCAGAAUAUGCGCAUUCUGGUUAGGGAUGGACCAAAAAUCAAGGCGAGCGAUAUCUCGAGAGAAAAUGUAUGUGAUUCAGAAACUAGUUGUGAAGCACUUUUUCAUCAACAAAAACGUUACAUCCCCUUUGGUGAUGGAUUUCUUGUUUAAGGGGUUAAAUUCUCUUGUUUUGGAUACCAACAAGGAAAAAAUAAUACUCACAAUCUCAAAACAAAUUGUGAGGCUCCUCAAGGAUGAUUCGAAUGCUUCGGAAAAUACAUUGAAGACUCUUGAAGACGAGCCUAAGAAAGAGAUAGCAUUUGAUGCCAAAGAAUUGGCAGUUCCCAUUGUUAGUGUGGACAAUGAUAUGUUUGUUUUAGCUGAUGAUGCGAUGUUACUCCUGGAGAAAGCUGUUCUUGAGCCAUUUCCAGAUGAAAGGGUUCCUCCAAACCGUAUAGAGGUUAGCUUCACAUCGUUUAUACGGCUCCAUAUCAAUUAAAAAUUAUUUGUAUUGAUGGUCUUAUAUAAUUCUUUAAGGUUGAUUAUGACGAAGAGAGUGAUGAUGAGAAGCUGUUAACUGAAUAUGCUAGACACACUCUGGAGGUAUUUGUUCUUGAUCAUAUCUUCUGCAACAAAAUUGAAAUUGCAUAUAAAGAAGCCAGUGCACUGAAAAUGCAUGAGGAGCAUUCGUGAAAAAGAAGAUCUGAAGAAGAGAAGAGUAAAUUCAACAAAAGUUCGUGAAGAAUAAAGAAGUUUUUGCUUUGAUGGAAAAACUAAGUCUACUAAAUUUAUUGUAGUGUCUGAUUUCUAUAUGCCUUGUUAACAAAUAAUAUGGUUCUGUAUUUUAGUAUUUCUCUAUAUAUAAGCAAAGAUACGAUAAAAUAUGAUGGUUCUUGCUCAAUUUUAUAGACUCUCUCCAUUUUCAGAAAUAUUUUUUUCAAAUAUUAAAUUAUUAAUGUUUUAAUGCAAUUUUAUUAGUUAAUAAUGGUAAAUUGUAAACUUUAAAAAAUAAUUGAAUAUAUUGGGUUAUAAGUAAUUAAAAUUGUUAAUUAUAGAAAAUUUUCACUAGAAUCAACUUUUAAUAAAUGCAAGAAUAUGAAAAAAAUCUAUAAAUCUAUAAAUUUGAAAUAGAAAAUAGUUUGUUAGAUCCUUCAUUGCUGACAAAAACUCAUUAGAAACAAAUGAAGCUUUUUACACUCCCUAUGUUUCAAAAUGUAUUAGUUUACUUAAAUGCACUCAUAUUAAGAAUGUGGUUACUUGUUAAAAGCAUCAUUUAAUAUAUAAUUUCAACCAAUUAUAAAAAAUACAUAAUUUUAUUGAUCGCAUAAUAUUAAAUAAAUAUAAAUGUUGUAUUAAAAUUUUAAAAUUACAUACUGUGGAACAUUUUUGUAAAAUUAGUUAUAUUAUAAAAUAGAGAGAGUAUCACUGUCACAAUUAUAUUUGUUACCCUUUUGGCGAAAUGAUAAAAAUACGAUACAAAACAGCUUUUGAGUCAUAAAUAAGAAUCUAACGCAAUUAUUUAGAUAGUUUUUAAUACAUUAACAAAUUACUAUAUUUUAUUAUUAAAUAUUAAAAAAGUUAUAUAUUAAAUAUUUUCAUUUUUAAAUAAAUAAAUUAUAUAAAUAUUAUUUUAUUAUAAUUUUGGAUUAAAUAAAAUUUCUCAUUAAAUUUUCUCUUGUAAACAUAACACUAAUAUAAAUUUAUUAGUAUAACUAAAUUUAUUAAUUAUAUUAUUUAGUAUAUUAUGUUGAAUGUUUCUGGUUUAGGAUAGAAGUGACAUAUGACAUUUCAUAUUAUUUUCGAUGUAUUUAUAUUUAUAAUAUAUCUAAAUUAUUAAAAUGAUUAAUAACAUUUUAUAUUCAUUUCAAACUAAUAUUGAUAUAUAUUCAAAUAAAAUAUUGAUAUGAUUUGAUAUAUAUGUAAAUAAUGAUACAGGUUAUUACUGUGUUUAUUUUGUUAAAUAAAACUUUAGUCUUAAAAGUUUAAAAUAUAAAUAUAUAUAAUUAAAUUACUAACUUUAUUAUUUGUUAGAAAAUUGUAUUGAAAAAUUAUUUAUGAUUUUAGAAUUCAUGGUUUAAUUGGAUUAAAGGUAAUAUUAAUAAUAAAUAGUGGUAGUCUAUUAUAUUAAGAGGAUGAAAGAUGCGUGAAAUUUCAUAAAAUUUUACAAAAAAAAAUUUAUUGAUAGAGAGAUGAGAAGAGAUAUUUUUUAGUAGAGUAAAUUCAGCUUCGUUGGGUCCAUGUCGAAGAUAGCAGAGCACUAGGGGUGGGCAUUUCGGCUUAACUACGGGUUUGGUUUGGGUUCGGUUUAGUUUGGGUUAUUUGGGUCUAAGAAAACUUGAACCAAAGUCAACCCAAAUUAGUAUGGUUUGGUUUAUGUUCGGUUUGGUUCUGUUUUACUUCGGUUUGGUUUGUGUUAGGUUUGGUUUUAGUUUGAUUUGGUUGGUGUUUGGUUAGGUUUAAUUUGGUUUUCCUUGUAUUUUUCAGUUCAAUCGAGUUGAUUUUUUAGUUUUGUUCAAGUUCAAUUACAAAAAUAUGAUUUAUAAAAACAUAAACAAAUCACCAUUUGAUACUAAAUUUUCCUUCAUAUUUAAAUGUAAAAUCAAACAUCACAAUAAAUAUAUAAAAAAUUAAUUCAUUAAUUUUUUAUUAUUAUCUUCAAACCUAAUAUAUACCUAAUAUAAAUAUCAUAAAUAACUUUCCGUUUUGAUGUUUAUGUAUGAGAUUUAUAUUCUUUUAUUUUAUUUUUAGUAGUAUUUAUUCUAUUCAUUUAAAACUAAAAUGUAUAAAACUAUGUUUAGUUGAUUAGGUUAAAUGGUUAAAUAUAUUAAAUCUUAAUAUUAUUUGUAUAAUUAAUUAAUCUAAUUAAAAACACUUUAGUUUUUCAGUUUGGUUCGGUUUAAAACCAAACCGAACCGAACCAUUGGGGUUGAUAAAAUUUUGAACCAAAUGAAUUAGACAUAUAUUUGGUUUGGUUUGAAUCGGUUUGGGUUCGGUUGGAUCGAUUUGGUUUUGGUUCAGUUUGGUUUUUUUGCCCACUCAGGACAGUAUGCGGAUGGACUAAAUUUCUGGUUAACUUUUUUUUUUUUAAUUAACGUAAUGUAUGGCCUAAAACAUUACCUCAUCAUAUCAAUGUGGCCAGAAUAUGAAAUGUAGUGGAGUUUUUUCGAACCUAGGUUACUUAGCAACCCAAAGUGUGUAGUACGAUGACUUCCGAUCCGAGUUGGUUGAAUCCGAGUUAGUACUUUAUGAUGUGAUAUAAAGGAAAUAACGUAUAUCCUUCCUAACCCACCGCACUUGUUGGGCCUAGCACAAAUCUAGCAUGGGUUUUAUCCGUAGGGAAGAGGCCUCGAACUGAUACGAAAGGACAAAAGUGCAUCUGGAAUCAGUCGUCAAAACCAUUAUAAUUUAUAAACCUAAAUAUACAAAGGCUCCACCACACAUUGACAGUGAGCAAUUUAGAAUAAGAGAGGUUUAGAGAGAUUCUAUAAGAUUUUAUGUUCGAAUAAUGAUUAAUUAUGAUAUGAAUAUCAUCAGUAAUCUCUUGUACUAUGAAGUUUUUGUUUGGCUUAUCACUAAAUCAAACAAGUAUUAUAUUAUCUCCUCUGUAAUUAUUAUCAUUAACAUUAGAGAGUGUGAAUAAGGUGACUCACUAGAAUCUGAUCCAUAUCCUCUUCGCAAAUUUGUUACUAAACAGUUUCUAAACAUAACCAGAAAUUGUUGACCAAAAAAAACAUAACCAGAAACUUUUGGCUUAACCAAGACUUUGAUUUGAUAAAACACGAUUUGUUACUUGUCUAAAAUCAGAAGCAAGAGACUGAAGAAACAGAGAGAGGGUAAGAGAAGCUGCUAGCAUACAGAAAGGAGAGCGGCUGUCCAGGAGCAAGAGGUUGACCGUCUUUAACCAGACAAUCGUAGUAGGAGAGUCGCCUGAAAACUCUAGGGUUAACCAGUUUGACUGAGCUAAACCAGCCACAAGUGACGUUGAUCUCCAUGAUCUUGCAGUCCGAAAGACAUGGUGUUGAAGAUCUCAACUGUGAAGGCAGAAAUUCCGUUUGGAAGUGGAACCGUUGAGCCUUGAAAGACAACAAUAGCCCUGUUCGUUUAUUAGACACGGCGUCAAUAACCUGCGAUCAAAAAUAUCAAAGGCCGCGUCAGUAUUUCAUUAAAAACAGCUUGUUUGAAGAUGUUGCGACUCAAUUAUACACGGAACAAUUGCCGCCACUGGCAGUAACAAAGUCGCUAUUUUUUUACGGCGACCAUUAAAAUGGAUGAAAGAGCUUUAGCGUCAGUUGCGUCAGCAAUUGUCAUGUCGUUAUUUCUAUCCAUCGUAUGUUAUUUUUUAGACGCUCAUCUUUGCCGCGGCGUCUAAGAAACGAACAUGGCUAAUAUCAUCUUUUGAGCAAUCUUGUCUCGAUCCUUUUGUCCCGUCGCAAAUAUCUGAAAUUAUCCCCCGAAGAUGCGUCUUUCACGUUAUUAUAAAUGAAAAGAAAGAUAUAUCUUUGAUAAAUGAAAACAAAGAUAUAUCUUUGAUUACAGUGAAAUAACGUAUGCAUGAAAAAUGUCUAAAAUAAUUUCUCUUUAGGAUUCUUACAACAUAAAAACACGGAUAUUGAUUUUUUAACUGAUAUACACGGAUAUUGAUUUUUUAACUGAUAUGUGAAGCCAACAAUGGCUAGACGAGUUAAUGGAUAUAAACAUUUGUCUGGUAAUCCUCAAAACAUAAAACAUAGACUGGUGUUAUAUGUGAAGGUGAAGCUUACUAUUGUUAGGAAAUGUGAUAAAAUUUUGAAUAGGUCUCUUUGGGGUUUCAUAAAACAUACAAAAAGAGACUCUGAUCUUAAUGGAUAUCGAUAUCAGAUGAAGAAGAAGAAGAUAUGGUGGAGUUAUCAAGCGAUGAAUAGAUAAAUUUUGAAUAGGUCUCUUUGGGGUUUCAUAAAACAUACAAAAAGAGACUCUGAUCUUAAUGGAUAUCUUAAGGCAACCAAGCAGUGUCUGAGUUACCAGGAGAUAGCAUAAGCUUUCUGGAAAGGGCGGUGUGGUUGUCGUAACUAGAAACAAAGUUUCUUGCAUUGAGAAUAAUGCCUCUUCUUUUAUCACUGGAACCUUUCCAAGGCGUUACACUUCACAACAGAUGCAACAGUGACAAAAACCAACGUGGAAGUGGUGUAUAAUGAAAAGGACAUAGACAAAAGAGACUAAGAGGACAUAUAACUGAACUUAAAUGAAGCAAGAAGACACAGCAACGUUCCCAAACCUAUGAAGAUGACACACAUGCACGGUGGGAGAGAGAUAAGUACUUGAAAAGAAACUUAAGAAAGGCAAGGUAUGUGAUUGCAUGCAUGUCUGUUGGUUCCAGAAGGUAACAUAUCUCUUGUUUCACCUCAAAAUCUACCGACUUCGAGAUUCGUAAAACCUCUAUAUAUUAAAAGAAAAACAUUCGACAUUAAUGUAUUCACACUACCUUCGCCAUGUGGCAACUUCUCAAACUAGCUUUACCAAUUUAUUGUAAUGUUCUUUUCUAAAUAAACCUCAAUAAAAUCGCUUUCCUAAUUUAAUACUUCACGGUUUUUUGUCAAUAUAAAACUCAAAUAUAUACAAGGUUCCAUGGGUUAUACAAAGGUUCCACGUAGAAACACAAUUUGCAAGAAGCUAAUUGAUAUUUCUUCUCUUUCAUAAACCUCUCAAAUUCGAUUACACAAUAUACUCCAAUGUUCUUUAUCAAAACUAAAGUCAUAUACAAUUUCGAUUUGCUAAUAUAUUACAUGACACAUUUUAUAAAAACACAACUCAAAUAAUCUUACACUUUAAAGAUGAUUAGUUUAGAGUUCCAUAUCAAAACAACUGAACUCAUAAACAACUUUGAGUCAAUCAGUAAUAUCAUUGCAUACUUUUCUUUUACUCAAUAAUAAUUGAAAUUGGAAUAUAUUUUUUUAAUGCUUCCUUUUCCUUUCACCGUCGACUAAAUUGUAGAGAAAUGAUUUGUCUUAAUAAUUGUUUUUUUAAACUAUUAUCUAGAUUUGAUUUGAUUUUGUAUACAUUUAUAAAUUAUGAUAUGAAACUAUUAGUUCGACAGUCUAAAACUCAUAUAACAUGAAACCAAACAAAUAAUAAUAGUUUUUGGUUUAACACCCAAAAAAACCAAAAACCUUAAGCAUUUUAACUGAACAAACCAAAAUAAAUAUAGAUUUAGAAUAGUAGUGACUAGUGAUAUUUUAGGAGAUCAAAAAUAAAAAAAGCAACCUAAAACUGAACCAAUAUCUAGAUUAAAGAGACCUAAGACCAUCAUUAACACAAGCUUUAAUGACGCCUCUUAAGGCAAAUUAAAAAAAAAAUUAAUAAAAAAAAGAAGAAAAGCAUAGACUCGCCUCUUCCGUAAGGCGUAGAAGGCCCGCCUCUUCGUUGCCACACGUCAAGCGUAGAGACGCUCUCUAUUCGGUUACGAACGCGUUCUCUCUCUCUCUCUCUUUCUCUCUCUCUCUCUCUCUCUCUCUCUCUCUCUCUCUCUCUCUCUCUCUCAAGCUCCCUUGAAAUCUCUCUCGACGAAAGGCGAUUCGGUUCUCCUUCGGUGGCUCUCGUCGGCGCCGUCUUGUUCAGUGGAUUGCAUCGGCGACGUCUCGUUCGGUCGCUCCCAUCGGCGACCUCUCUGUUGCUGGUUCUCCUCGAGGCGACGGAGCUCUCUCUCGGUUCCUCUCCUCAAAUCGAAAGGUAAGCGGUUGUUCUGUUAUUGGUUAUGCAUGUCUUAGAUUAUGCAUCUUCUUGGUAUGAUCAGUUGUUUUUCUUUGUAGUUUGUUGGUUCUGUCUCUCGGUGGGUCUUCUCCUCCAAGAUUUCACUCGGUGGCUCAUCUCAAAUCGAAAGGUAAAGCAGUUCUUCUGUUGAUUUUGCAUGUGAUUGAUUUAGAAUUUGUAUGCUCUGUUGAUUCAAAGAUUUUGAUUGUUGUUUCUGAUGUUUUUGAUUCGGUAUGUUCUGUUUUAAGAUUGAUGGAUGAAGAACAUUUUGUUUGAAUAAGUUUGUUUCAAUUAAGACAGACGGAUCAGGAAUGGUUAAUGCUAUGUAAUAGAUUGAAGUGUAAUAGAUUGAUUAUGCUUGAUUUGUUUGUUGUUUGGCUUUGUGGUUUCUGAAAUAUUUUUUGUUUCUGUCUUUCUGUUUACAGAUAGCAGGAUCAAGGUUCAUCGACCAAAGGUUCAGAGCACAAUUAAGGUUAGUGUCACUCUGUCUUUUGGUUAUGGAAACUAAUUGAUUUAGGUUCUGGUUUGAAUUGAAUCGAGUGUAAUAUAUGUGUUGGUUUGAGUUAGAAAAUGGUUGUGUGAUAAACAGAAGUGAUGGCUAGCUAGAAAAUGGUUGUGUGAUUAAUAGAACUGUAUUUUGUAGAUAAAUGUCAACUCGUUUCUUCUCUGCCAUCUAGGUAGAAGUGAAUGUCGUAGAUAAAUGUGAACUUGUUUGUUUGUUGUCAUCAAUGCAUCUGAAACUUCCUUUCUUCUCUUCUUUCUCUGCCAUCUAUAAACAGAAAUUCCUCCUUCACUUUCUUAUCAUUUCUCUCAUCGUUCUUCAUCAUUCUCCUCUCUAUGGAUUCUCAAAGGCAAUCUUCUAGGUUUUUAGACUUACUAAACAGUCAAGUACCUAACAAUGAAAACCCAUCUCAGUUACUGAGUUUUUCACCUAGUCCAGCCAAUGAAAACCCAUCUCAGUUACUGAGUUUUUCACCUAGUCCAGCCGUUGGAGGAUCUUCUUCACGUGCACAAACUGGUGAGGAGCGUAAGCAAAGGUAUAAGUGGUCAACAACUGAAGACCUGGUCCUCAUCAGUUCAUGGCUGAACACCUCCAAGGAUCCAGUAGUUGGGAAUGAGCAAAGGGCAGGAACGUUUUGGAAGAGGAUUACCUCUUAUUAUAAUGCAAGUCCGAAGGUGGUUGGUUUCACUAAGAGAGAGCCAAGCCACUGUAAGCAAAGGUGGGGAAAGAUAAAUGAAGGUGUCUGCAAGUUUGUGGGGUCAUAUGACGCUGCAUCCAAACAGAAGAGCAGUGGCCAAAAUGAAGAUGAUGUUUUGAAGGCUGCACAUGAAAUUUUUUUCAACGAUUACACGGUUAAGUUCACAUUGGAGCAUGCCUGGCGGGAGCUUAGGAAUGAUCAGAAAUGGUGUGGGACUUAUGGAAGUAGUCAACAAAGCUCUGGUGCAAAAAGAAAGAGGGUGGGGGAACAACAAUCUUUUCAGUCAUCAGCAUCUAUGCCGAGUGUCAAUGGAGAGGAUUCUUCAACAGCAGCUAGGCCUAUUGGCGUUAAGGCAGCAAAAGCCAACAAGGGUAAAAGGUCAGUGGGAGAAGAAGAGAAGAUUCUGCAAGGGUUUCAGUAAAUGUGGGAGCUCAAGCAGAAGGACUUGCAAGAACAGACCCAGUUACUGAAUAUGAAGGAUAAGGUUAACAAGUCCAAACUGCUUGACAGUUUGCUUGCGAGAACAGAGCCACUUACUGAAUUAGAAGUGGCUCUUAAGAACAAACUAAUUACUGAAAUGUUAUCAAUGUAAUCCUUUAAGUUAAAUGUUUUUAUGUAAGAUCUUUCUAGUCAAUGUUAUCAAUGUUGCUGUGAAAUUGAUGUGUUAUAUAUGUAUUGUCUUAUAUAAGUUGAUGUGUUAUCUAAAUUGAUGUGUUAUAUAUGUAUUGUCUUUUCUCAUCCGUUUCUGUUUUUUGGCUUUUCAGGGCAACAAGUCACACACAUACAGAAAUGGAGGCAAGAAAACCAAUUGUCUGUGGCCUCUCAGCAGGAGGCAUCAUACCACCUCUCCCACGAGAAGAUACAGACGAUGAUGUUGAGGAUAUCCCACCAACUGAAGCAGAAGUGGUGGAGAUAUCAGAUGAAGAAGAAGAAGAUAUGGUGGAGUUAUCAAGCGAUGAAUAGAUGAGAAAUAUGGGCUACUUGAUUAGGGUGGAGGAAGAAGAAGAUGACAUUGCACCUGAGUUCAGAAGGAUGGUGCAAAUGAUGCAUGAGGAAGAGAAGAGGCUGAGAGAGGAGAGGUUCAACGUGUUGAAGGCGGGAAUCAAGCUAGAAGAAGGACAAUCCUCUACGGGUGAUGGUAAGAGGAGUUCGUGACCGUCUUUGUCUCACAUGCAUCUGCUUUUUUGUACUGAGUCCGUGACUGUCUUUGUCUUUGUUUCUGCAUUGUCUUUGUUUCACAUGUCUUUGUUUCUUAUGUCACAUGGACUUGUAAGGACUUUUGUACUUUGUCUUUGCUCUCUUUUCAGUUCCCGUGACUGUCUUUGUUGUCUUUUUAUGAAAGUAGAUUUCAAGUAGUAUAAAGCCUUCAAGCAUCUCUCACUCUCUCGUUCACAUAUCACAACCAAACCAAGCAACCAAGCUUUGUUCUCUCUUUCUCUUGUUCCCGUGCAAACCAAGCAGCCUUCAAGCUUAUAUUCCCUCUUCCCGUAUUCUUACCAAACCAAAUCACAAAUCAACUCUUAUAUUCCCUCUUCCCGUAUUCUUACCAAACGAAAUCACAAACCCAAAUCACAUUCUCUCUUCUUACCAAACCAAGAUCAACCCCAAAUCACAUUCUCUCUCCUAACCAAACCAAAUCACAAACAUGGCAUCCUCUUCAGAAAACAAUUAUGAAGAUUCACUUGAUGAUUACUCUGAUCAAUAUUUUAAUCAAGCCUUUGCGAAUUUAUCCAUUCGUCAUCAAGAAGAAGCUAGGAAACAAAGAAAAAAACGAGCUUAUAUCGAAAGACAUCGUGAAGAAGGGCACAUUCGUUUAUGGAAUGAUUAUUUCAGUGAAACUCCAACAUAUCCUGAAAAUUUCUUCCGACGACGAUUUAGAAUGAACAAGCGAUUGUUCAUGCAUAUUGUUGAUCGAUUCUUCAAUGAGGUUGAAUUCUUUCAACAAACGCAAGAUGCGCUCGGAAGGAAUAGUCUCUCUCCACUUCAGAAGUGUACAGCAGCCAUUCGUGUCUUGGCAUAUGGUACUGCGGCUGAUGCUGUUGACGAAUACCUCUGACUCGGUGAAACUACUACUCGGUCAUGUGUGGAAUAUUUUGUGGAAGGCAUAAUAUAUUUAUUCGGCGAGGAGUACCUAAGAAGACCAACACCGACUGAUCUUCAACGUCUACUUGAUAUUGGUGAGGCUCGUGGAUUUCCCAGGAUGAUAGGAAGCAUCGAUUGUAUGCAUUGGAAGUGGAAGAAUUGUCCCACCGCUUGGAAAGGGCAAUAUUCAUGUGGCUCGGGAAAACCAACAAUCGUUUUGGAGGCGGUUUCUUCGUAUGAUCUAUGGAUAUGGCAUGCGUUUUUUGGACCUCCAGGUACCUUAAAUGAUAUCAAUGUUCUUGAUCGUUCACCUGUUUUUGAUGACAUAAUUAAUGGUCAAGCUCCGCAAGUCACCUACUAUGUCAAUGAAAGAGAGUAUCACAUGGCUUACUAUCUCACCGACGGUAUUUAUCCGAAAUGAGCUACUUUUAUCUAAUCAAUUUCACUACCACAAGACCCGAAAUCGGCUUUAUUUGCUAAACAACAAGAAGCUGUCCGAAAAGAUGUCGAGCGUGCUUUUGGAGUCUUGCAAGAUCGCUUUGCGAUUGUUAAAAAUCCGGCACUUUUUUGGGAUAAAGUCAAAAUUGGGAAGAUUAUGAGAGCAUGUAUCAUACUCCAUAACAUGAUAGUAGAAGACGAACGAGAUGGAUACACUCAAUAUAAUCUUUCAGAGUUCCAACAAGAAGAAGGCACCAGAAGUUCACAUGUCGAUCUCGAUUUUGAUAGGGAAAUGCCUAUAAAUAUCGCCAAUAUGAUGCAUGCUCGUACUACAAUUCGUGAUAACCCAAUGCAUGAACAACUGAAAGCUGAUUUGGUUGAACAUAUGUAGACUAAAUUCAGACACUGAUGAAGACAACUGAGCUCGGAUGUUUCUUUCAAAUUAUUGUCGUUUAUUUUACUUAUUUUGUUUUCAUAUUUUGUUUUAAAUUAAUGUUUAAAAUAUUUUAUUUUAAUAUGUUUUAUUUAAUAAAUAAAAUUAAUCUUUAAAAUAUUUAAGUUUAAUAAUUGUUUUUUCUUAAAAACCCCAAAUUAAGAACUUACCAUUGAAGCUAAGAAAAUAUGUGUCUUUUAAGUACAAACUCUUAAUUAUCAUUUAUUACUAAAAAAUCAUUAAGAGCCCAAAUUUGGAUCUUGGGGUUAAUGAUACUCUAAUAUCUUUUUAUCUAAAAAUAAUAAAAUUAAUAAUCUCUUUCCACGUACCUAGUGGAUAAGUAUUUACCAAUCUUUUCGUUAACGUUUUUGAAAAUGGCUAACAUGAAGUGGUUAUCCAUUAAUUGCACAAAACCGUACCUAUCAACAUAGUUUUGUUUGGCACAACAUUGUUAUCUAUUUUAUAUCACAUUGAUCAAUACAUUACGAGAACAUAAAAAAGUUCAAACUAAGAAACAAAAAGAUAAAAUCUUGAUCACUUAGUCUUUAAUCUGAUGGGGGAAAGCAACCUUAUUCCAUUUAUACAUAAAGUGGGUGUAAACACUCAGUUAUAACACAUGCAAACGGUUAACACUUCUUUAGCAAAUAUCAAGUUUCUGGCUUACAAAUCCAUAAACAGAAGCAUCAUGUUCCUCCACAAGCCUGAAAUCAUUGUCGUGUAUGUUGUAACAUUAAGCAACACUUUUAGAAUUUGAAAUCAUUUCCGUGUAUGUUGACAUUACUCUUUUAGAAGAGGAGACUACAAAAAGAUAAAUCCCAAGAAUCUUCCAUUUUACAAGCCUUCGUUUAUGUCAAAGCUAAUAAGGUGGAUGAUGCUUGGGAUUUAUCUUGUUAUCACCCAGACAAAAAGAAAGAGUGGACAGUAACACACAAAGAGACCUGGCACAUUAUAAGACAAAAAAAAAGAAAGAUAAAUCCAUUUUCACUCAGGACAUCAUGGUCCUUUACUCUCUUCAAGACCUUGCAAAAAAUCGAUUAAUCAUGAGAUCUUUAUAAGUCACUUCGUUUGGGAAAGCAACACUUGAUUACCAAAUGCGGUGACUUAUAAUACUCUCAUAAAACAAUCUUCAGCAACUUCUCAAGAAAAGAUAAAUCAAGAAAGAGAGAGAGUAAAUGAUAUCUGCAUAAACAUUUUGUUAUAUACUUAACCGGAUCCAAAUACCCUGAGAUCCUUUUCCAUCCCACCUGCAGAUAUAAGAUCAAAUCAUCGUAGUUCAAUUGAAAAGAAUUGAAAAGCCAGACUAUCAAGAUUUAUCAAGAAUAGUUUAGGAUCUACCUUUUCAGAUUAUGAAGUUUCUUUCUUCGCAAUCUCAAUGGAUCGAUUCUUGCUCGAGCUUAUUGAGAUGGAUCCAGAGCUCUGUUUCGUGAGUAACAAUGUAAACGGCGUACCGCUUUACCCUAAUAGAG